Molecule: long non-coding RNA, 54298 nt
Filed under: Ananas comosus (pineapple)
Lineage: Eukaryota; Viridiplantae; Streptophyta; Magnoliopsida; Poales; Bromeliaceae
Description: long non-coding RNA (ACOM_LNC027828)
Source: RNAcentral
AUUUUUUUUUUUGUAAAAAUGGGUUACUAUUUUGAAUUUUGCAGAUUUUGCCUGUACCUUUAAUAAACGGACCAAAAUAUCCUUAUUUCUAUUUCUCUCUUUUUUUUUUUCUCCUCCAGAUUUGUCUCCCUUCUUUUCCUCAUUCUUUCCGCUCUUCACCUCCCAUUUCCUCUGCGUUUUUCUCGUCCUCCGGUUCCUCUACGUUGAUCCCAUGCUCUGCUCUCUUACCUUGCCCAUCCUUCCGUUGAUACCGGAUCAGAUAUGGCAUAGAUUGCGAAGAUAAGAUUAAGGAAGAGGCCUGAACCAUACAACUCUUUAUUUUUUAUUAACAAGUCGUUGAGUAAACAACAAAAUAUAUUUUAGACGAUCACUUUCUAGACGACACUUUAUUCUAGUGUUUUUAAUAUUUGGCAUGUGCGGAACGUUGCCAAUAAAUAUAUUUUUAUCAAAUACUGAGACACUAUAUUAAAGCGUCGGUAUAUUUAUAUCGACAUGUUUAUUUUUUACUCGACGCUUUUACAACCGUUGGGAUUAUUCUUGUCGACGCUUUAAAUCGUCGCUAAUUAUUAUUUAAAGUGCAGUAUAAGAUUUAUUAGUACUAUUAAACUGUACACACAAAAAAUAAAAGAAGAGUCAACUAAAGACUUAAGUCCGCGUGGAAACUCAGCCAUUUAUUGCAGCCUUUUAUUUUUUUAUCAGUUGACGAUUGACUCAUCACAAACCACUCCUUAGUCCUUUCUCUCUCAGUAUCUAAGACCAUAUGAAAGAUCUAUAAAUAUUCAUACCAGGAAACCUUAUAGCUUGCAAAAUCCAAGUAUAUACCGCUUUGUACUCCUCUCUCUCUCUCUCUCUCUCUCUCUCUCUCUCUCCACAAAAAAGGAGAAAAGAAUUAAUAGAUAUACACUGUGGUGUAUAUCCAUCCAUUAGCUAUUUCUCCACACUAAGAUGGUUAAGGUAAAAUGAAGUUCUGAGCCUAUCUUAUUAUUUGUUCUAAUUCAUUAAUUAAUGAGCUUUUCUGUAUAAUAACUUAAUUAUAUAUAUCUAAUUUAUUGUGUACAGCAAAAGAUGGUUCUCAAGGUCUCAAUGGAGGAUCCCAAGAGACGCUCAAAAGCACUUCAAAUUGCUACUCGAUUUAUUGGUAAUUAAUCACAAUUACAAAGAUACAUUAAUUAAUUUUCUCCUCGUCUUCUUUUUACAAAUGACAAUUUUAAGUUUAAUUCAAUUGCUAGAUGUAUAUACAUAUAUAUAUGUUUCUAAAAGAUAAGAGUUUUUGUAGGUGUUAUAUCCGCAUCGUUGGAAGGCGAUCGAAUUGUGGUGGUCGGGGAGGGGGUCGAUUCGAUCGAACUAACGACCGCGCUGAGGAAGCGAAUGUCCUACGCAGAAUUGAUCAGCGUCGCGCCAGUGGAAGCUAAGAAAGAAGAGAGUAAACAACCCGAGGCGAAGAUCGUUCAAUCUGCAGUACCCCUGCCAUAUCAUAACUUUACAGUUCUGCCACCGUACCCAUAUUUUACUCAAGAUUACACGUAUGAUCCUUACAGAAUCUUUUAUUAGAAGAUUAUGAGUUGUGGGAACUAAACCAAAAAUAUGUUCUAUAGGGUUUUUAUUAAGGUACUUUCUAUAGGGUUUUUUUUUUUUUUUUUCCUUUUUUGGGGAUAAUUAUGAAGUAGGGGUGGUGUGGGGGGCGCUAGGGAGCAUUAAUAUAUUUUUUAAGAUUUCAAUCAUAUUUCAUCCACUGUAAUAAUAUGUUUUUAUUUUUGAAAUCUCUAAAAAUGUGAGUUUGCGAUUAUUGUUGGCUUAAAGAGGCCAACAUUUUGUCUCGGGCUGAAUUUCAGAUUGGUAUGAUUGAAGUCCGCUGGCGCUAUGUGUUUUCUCACUUGAACUCGAUUGGAUGUAUCCGUCCUAAUAACUUAAUAUUUUGGACUCAAUUAUAACUUCCAUUUGUAUAUUGGGUAUGUUAUGCAGUAAUGUAAGCUAAAAUGUUGCAUGAAAAUGGAGCUUCCUUUUAUUUUCUUUAUUUAUACUUUUGCCUUUAUGAAGUAUAGGGCUGGCAAACGAGCGAGCCGGCUCGCGUUCGACUCGUGUUCGGCUCGAUAUUCGGCUCGCUCGAGCUCGACUCGAAAUUAAAUGAGCCGAGCUUGAACAAAAUAAAAGGCUCGAAAUUUAUUUCAAGCCGAGCUUGAGUAUUACUCGGCUCGUUCGAAUUAGGCUCGAAAAGCUCGAAAGCUCGAAAAUAUAUAUAUAUAUAUAUAUAUAGAGUUGAGCUAGAAUACUAUCGAUAGCAAACGAGCUCUUUUGCCACCCAUUUGUUUUCGAUGAUGGAGCCUCCAAAUUGACGAUCAACACCGUUGAAUAUGAUCUAUAUCACUUGAAGUGUUUAGAAAUCAAAUUUCAUACAUUUUCGAUAUUGUUCUCUUAUCCAUCGAGUGGAAUACAAAAAUGGAACGCUGAAAAUAAAUAUUCUAAAAAAAGAUGGUCAUAGGAGUCUUGUAAUCAAGAUUAAGAGUGAUAGAUCUGUUGUCUAAAUAGUUUUAAAGAAUUUUUUAACAAAAAUUCAAUUGAUUUAGAUACUCUUUACGCCGUUAAACAGAAAAACGCCUUAAAUUCGACCAUUAAAAAUUUACAAAUUUUGAAACCCUCUUGGUCAUUAGGGUCAAAUAAUGUCGAAAAGAUUUGAAAUUUGAUUAUAGACAUUCAUAAAUGGUAUAGAUCAUGUUCAAUGCGGUGCCGAUCGUCGAUUUGAAGCUUAUCAUCGGAAAACAAAUGGAGGCAACGGAGCCUGUUUGCUACCGACUAGUUAUUCCAGCUCAACCUUAUAUUUAUAUAGUUAUAUUAUAUAUAAUAUAUAUAUUAUAAUGUAUAUAAGUAUUUUUAAUUAGUAUAUAGGCUUUAACUUAUUAUUGGGCCAUUAUUCUUGCCCAUUAAAAUUAAAUCCAACAAGUAAUAACCGGCAAUUGAGCCCAACUCUAAAUUACCUAACACACUCUCCCUUUUUCAGACUUUACUGUUGCAGCGUAACCUAAACCAGAUUAACAUUCAAAUUUUCAAAUCCUAAUUUUUUUCCCCUCUCUCUUCUCUCAUCCUCUCAUCAUCUCACCCAGCUCAUGACAGUCACCUAGCUCACAUUUUCCUUACAAUUAUUUUCGUAUUUCGUUGAACUAUUUGAACAGUUGCAUCAAAUUAUUAAGGUAAUUGUUUCUAUAAAUGCAAAACUAUUGAUUAAUAAUGUGAGAAAUUCAAUCGGCUCUUUAGAGCUCGAGCUCUGCUCGACUCGAAUAGGCUCCGCUCGAGUCCGGCUCGAUUAAUUUUCAAACCGAGCUUGAGCCUAUGAUUUAGGCUCGAAAAUUAAUUCAAGGCCGAAAUUGAGCCUGACAUAAGCCGCCUCGAGCUGGCUCGCCUUUCCCCCCUAAGAAAGUAGUGACCCUGCCUAGGAGCAAAACCCACUCCGGGUUGGGGAGCUCCCGCCCGAGAUCCCGUCCCGACGGGGAGUAGUAAGAUGGGAGAUAAAUAGAACAGAUUCGGGGUGGAAACGAUUGCAUAAUUUUACGGAUCCCAGACGGAUUCGGGAUACGAAAAAUAAGAAAAAUUUGACCUGUCCCGAAUCCCGCCCCGAAUCCCCCCCCAUGAUCCGACCCGAAUCCACCGCCCGAAAAUUAUUGAUAUUUCUUAAAAAAAUAUUCUUACAAAAUAUUGUAUUUAUAAAAGCUUCAAAAUACAAAUAACUUAGGUACUUUUCAUUUCUAAUCGUAUUUUGAAACUUUUGAACUGUUGUUUUGAAUUGUGAUUGAUAUUUUUUACUUUUAUAAUAAUAUAUUAAAUUAUAUAUAUGAUAUAUUUUAAAAAUUAUUAUUUAUAUUUAUAAAAUAUUAAUAUUAUAAUUUUAUAAAAAAUAUAAGUUGGCAGGGCGGAUUCGGGCGGCGGGAGUGGGUUUACGAUGGCGGACGGAUUAUGAGAAUAUAAUAUUUUAACCCGUCCGGAUUCAGAGCGGGAGGACGGGGCGUGGGUGUCUUGGUAGUCAAGGCGGGAAGGCGGGGCCCGGGGCCCCCGCCCCCGAGACCACUCCGUUUGCUCACCUAACCAUUGUCCUUAACUUUUUUGGAUAAUUAAAUACUACUAUAAGGCCGUCUUGGAUGUCUGGCAUCCUUACGUUUCCUGGCUUGUUGAAUGAUGAGAUUCAUUAGUUGAUUUUUUAGGCUGUAUCUAUUUUGGUUAUCCCUAUAUGGAAUUUCAUUCCUCGAGGAUUCAUAGGUACUGCAAACAAUCGAUGAAUUGAAGUUAGCCAGGUAAAUUUUUGGCACAAAAUGAAGUCUAAUUUGAGUAUUUGAUAUCUUUUAUAAAUUAUAACUCAAGUUGCGGUUCGGUGGAGAAAGGAUGAUCAACAUCGACUCCGAAAGUAUGGAUAUAUAUAGUAUAGGUACUAUAGUACUACUAAUAUAUAUAUAGUAUUAUAUACGGUGUAUUUAUAUCAUAUAUAUAUAUAUAUAAUAUAUACCUAUAUAGCUCAUAUAUAAAUAUAAUAUCUAUAGACCUUCUCAUCGCAAACAUAAAGAAAACGGUCCACAAAGCUUUAUAUUGUUGGCAUAGCUCAAGUUGUUUGGCAAAAAAAAGCCCUUGCACUAGUGGUAUCGAGGAUAGUAUCCAUGGUGGGGAGAUGAGAGCGCCAUAAAAAUCUGUUAACGUGAUUAAAAAUUGGAGAACCUCUGUAAUAUAGUAAUUGUAAAUAUACUUUUAUAAGUUAACUUUCAAUAUGUUGUACCAGAACAAAAGGUUCUAAUAUUUCAAAUACGUUCUCUUGGUUUAUAUUACCGUUCGACAACUUUUAAUUUCAACAACCAAUAAAAUAAAUGCCAAUUUGCCAUCACAAAUAACUUCGUCAAAAUUCACCUUAAGCAGUAUAAUCACUAUAACAGUAAUUAUGGUAUCAAGCGAGCCAAAUUUUUGGGAGCACUUUUAAUAUAUGUGUCACAUUUAGUCAAAUUUUUUUAAGAAAAUCUAUUAAGCACCUAAAUCUGAGAAACGCCAAUUUAAUCAAAAUUAAAAAAAAUUCCUUUUAUCAACUAACCGCACCAAGCAACAACUCGGCCGAAUCUACAAAAAAAAAGAAAAAAAAGAAAAAAUUGAAUCACCAUCCCUCCUCCCGUUCUCCUCCUCCGCUGUCGUAGCUGCAACCCGAGGUACCGGGUUCUGGCGGCUGCAGUUCCGCUCCGUGAGGAUCUUGGCAGGAAUCGUAAAGGGCUACGAUCCACCACGUAUCCCCUCCCUGCCACAGGUCGCUGAGGAUGGGUGGCCAAUAAUGGAAGGCGGGCCCAUACUAACUACAUGACCCCCCACAUAUAGUCAAUGCACUUUAAAAAGUGCCGGUAUAUUAUUACACUUUUGAUCUAUAUCUGAUAUUUGUAAAAGUGUCGCUAAUACUACUUUUUUGUUGUAAAUGAAAUAUAAAAGGGUAAAAUUAUAGUAUCAAGGUUAGUCUCCAUAAACUAACCAAGACCUCAAAUGGAAUGUGAGCCUCACGUGAUUUUAUCAAGGCGAUCUAUAAAUCAUAAGCAGUCGGUCCUAUUCAAUCGAUUAAUAAGAUACUGUAGACUAACGGUAGGAGAUCUGGACAUUGUCUUUAAUGGAGCGGUACGGGUUUAACCAUCCUUAUACUCUAAGGUUGAUAUAUACGAAAUACUGUAACAUGGGAUGUCCCGAUCCUAAUUUUCUGUGAUGGCUCCAUCCAAAUUCCGGGGAAAGGGGAAUUGACCUCCCAAACGUCCCCGUUUUCUUGUAGAUCGCAAACAAGAACGACCCACCGAGCAAAAAAAACUCUCCGCUCGUCAAAUGGUAUUCAGAGAUCGAAAUCAUGGCAGACGAGUUAGAUCUUGUUUCUAAUAAGUUCAAAACAAGCGCUCUUCCUCUUUCUCCUACGCCCACGGGAAACAUAUAUCAACGACCAUCACUGUUAAAUCUUGGUAUUCUUGUUGUGCAAUUGUUGUGAGCUUCCCAAUAGCCUUCUAUAUCCCGCUGGUAUUCGUUGCUUUCGCAUAAUUUUUUCAAGCACCGAUGGAUUCUUUCCCAACACCCUUCUACAAUGAUCGUAAUGCUGAUUUAUUACUGCUCCUACAGAAUGCCACUUCAUUAUCAUAAAAAUUGUUGUGUCGACAAAAAGAAAAAUGAAAGAUUGCAGUACGAGUUUUCCAUCCUUUGUAAUGCAGAAAGUCGCCGUCCAAUCCGUAAAGUUCGUACCUUAGCUCUUACAAGGCCAGGUGGAUGCAUUGAUUACCGAGAUCGUAAAGGCAUAGAAAAGCUAAGCUAUUAUGACGUCCUAAAUUUUCCACCCUUGUCAGGUAAUGAAAGCGGUUGCUAAAGGUUAGCUACUACAGAUCUAAGAACUCUAUAUGGAAUUCCAAUAAUAAUGAUGAUCAUGGCAUCAGUUUUCUUUUUAAAUUUUUAAUUUUGUAAUAUAUUUUAAUGGUGUUCAUUCUUCUUUAUUCUUACAUUUAAAUGCUUAAUAGUUAAUAACUCCAUUAAUACUCACCUCUUAAUUAACUCCUUUAAAUUUAUUUAUACUCCGCCCCUUUAAAUUUUUAAAUAGUGUGAAAUAUUAAGACAUUAAUUAGUAAAGGAAAAAACUGUCUAUUGUAUUGCCCAAGAAAUAAUUGCGUCAGUUUAUUUUUUUAUAUGUUUAUUUUUAACUAUCUUACUUAUAUUUUAAUUUAAUGUGCCUAUGAGCUAUAUACUUAAACUAUGGCAUAUGUUUUCUUUCCUAAUUAAUUAAAUAAAUCCUUAUACUUUAGAUAACAAAUUAAUAUUGUGGUAGUAAAAUUAGGUUCUCUAAAUCCUAAAUCCUAAACCCAACUUCUCGCUCUCCUCCGCACCCUCCCUCGUCUUCCAAACUCGCCCUCCGAUCGGUUGCUGGCCCCUCCCUCCCGCCAGCCCCCGACCCGUCCACACGGCGUGGCCAGCCCCCUAGAAGUGAGACCUCCGAGGAGGACGCCGCAGGAGACCCUCCCCCGCAUGGCGACCCCUCCCGCUACGCUCGACGUCCUCUGCGCGCCCGGUUCAUAGGGCAUGAUCCGCGAAACCCCUGACGAGGAGUGCGCGGCGCUCAAGGCCGUGGACGGCCACCGCGUUCAAAGAGGAUCUGUCGCGCCCCAUUCUGCAACAAUUUCGAAACUCUUAUACGACGCCCCACUCCCCUACCCUCGAUCACCUGUCCUUUCUCGUAGAAGAAAGUAACUCCUAUACAGUUUUCAAUUUUAUCCCGCCGCAUCCGCGGAAUUCCUACACUAUAAGCAUUAUUACAAACUUGAAAAUAGUAACUAAAAUUAUUCCUAUUUCCGAUAUAGGAACCAACCAUUCCUUUUAUACUAUUCAUCCCAAAAAUGUCAGCGCCACUGAGUGGAGUUAAUGAUCUAAAUUUUUUUUCCGACCAUGCCUUUAUUUUAUUUAUAAAGAAUCUAUCCGCUGGCACCCACGCGCGGUGCCUUCCACCUAGUGAUAGUUUGAUACUUGUUAGUUAACUUUGUUAAAAAAGUAAUAGUUACCUGUUGGGUUUAAAUGAAUUUGUAUUGGUUCGGUCCUGUCGCGUGUCCUUACUUUGUUUUUUUUUAAGGUUAUUUGCAUACCGUCCCUGCCGCAAACCAUAUGAAUUGCGAAAGAUCCCCUGCAAGAUAACGGAAACAAACAUAAAGCUGUCCCUGCAAAUUCCUAAUUUAUGCAGAAUGUCCCCUGAUUACAUCUGUUUAAGAACUGUUUUUUUUUUUAAGCAGCCUUUCAUGGAAAGACGCAUUUUUGCCCUCACAAAUAUACUCCCCUGCCAAAAGCAUCUUCCCCCUCCUCCUUUUCCUCUCUCCUCCUCAAUUUGGCCGCCGGAGCCCGGUGGCGGCGACGGCGCGGGUUCGAGCUCGCCGCGACAAAGAAGAGGGAAAGGAAGAAAUGAGAGGAGAAAANNNNNNNNNNNNNNNNNNNNNNNNNAUACAAAAAUGGAACGCUGAAAAUAAAUAUUCUAAAAAAAAUGGUCAUAGGAGUCUUGUAAUCAAGAUUAAAGUGUAUAGAUCUGUUGUUAAAAUAGUUUUAAAGAAUUUUCUAACAAAAAUUCAAUUGAUUUAGAUACUCUUUACGCCGUUAAACAGAGAAACGCCUUAAAUCGACCAUUAAUAUACAAAUUUGAAACCCUUUGUCAUUAGGCAAAUAAUGUCGAAAAGAUUUGAAAUUUGAUUUAUAAACACUUCAAAUGGUAUAGAUCAUGUUCAACGGUGCCGAUCGUCGAUUUGAAAGCUCUAUCAUCGGAAAACAAAUGGAGGCAACGGAGCCUGUUUGCUACCGAUAUUAUUCCAGCUCAACUCUAUAUAUAUAUAUAUUAUAUAUAAUAUAUAUAUAUAAAUUAUAUAAAAUAUUUUAAUUAUAUAUAGGCUUUAAUUUAUUGGGCCAUUAUUGUUGCCCAUAAAAUAAAUCCAACAAGUAUAACCGUCAAUUGAGCCCAAAUCUAAAUUCACAUAACACAUCUCUCUUUUCAGACUUUUACUGUUGCACGUAACCUAAAACAUGAUAACAUUCAAAUUUUCAAAUCCCUAAUUUUUUCCCCUCUCUCCUUCUCUCCUCCUCUCUCUCAUCCUCACCCAGUCAGACAGUCACCCUAGCUCACAUUUUCUUACAAUAUUUCUGUUAUUUUGAACUAUUGAACAUGUUGCAUCAAAUUAUAAGGUAAUGUUCUAUAAAACCAAACUAUUGAUUAUAUAAUGUCGAGAAUUCAAUCGGCUCGUUUAGAGCUCGAGCUCGGCUCGACUCGAAAUAGGCUCCGCUCGAGCUCCGGCUGCGAUUAAUUUCAAACCCGAGCUUGAGCCAUAGAUUUAGGCUCGAAAUUAAUUUCAAGCCGAAUUUGAGCUGACAUAAGCCGCGCUCGAGCUGCGCUCUUUCCCCCCUAAGAAGUAGGACCUUGCUAGGAGCAAACCGAUCCGGGUUGGGGAGCUCCCGCCCGAUCCGUCCCGACGGAGUAGUAACAUGGGAGAAAAUAAACAGAUUCGGGUGGAAACGAUGCAAAUUUUACGAUCCGAGACGGAUUCGGGAUACGAAAAUAAGAAAAAUUUUGACCUGUCCCGAAUCCGCCCCGAAUCCCGCCCCCAUGAUCCGCCCCGAAUCCACCCCCGAAAAUUAUUGAUAUUUUAAAAAAAUAUUCUUAAAAAUAAUGUAUUUAUAAAAAAGUUCAAAAUACAAAUAACUUAGUACUUUUCAUUUCUAAUGUAUUUGAAACUUUUGAACUUGUUUUGAAUUGUGAUUGAUAUUUUUUAUUUUUAUAUUAAUAAUUAAUAUAUAUAAUAUAUAUUAUUAAAAAUUAUUAUUUUAUAUUUAUAAAAUAUUAAUAAUUAUAAUUUUAUAAAAAAAUAAGUUGGCCAGGGGCGAUUCGGGCCCGGCGGGAAGUGGGUUUUACGAGGCGGGACCGGAUUAUGAGAAAUAAUAUUUUAACCCGUCACGAUUCAGAGCGGGAGCGGGGCGUGGGGUCUUGGUGAGUCAGGGCGGGAAGGCGGGGCCCGGGGCUCCCGCCCCCAGACACUCCGUUUGCAUCCCCUAACCAUGUCCUAACUUUUUGGAUACAUUAAACUACUAAAGCCUUGGAUGUCUGGACAUCUUACGUUUCCUUGGCUUGUUGAAUGUAUGAGAUUUCAUUUAUUGAUUUUUGUGGCUGUAUCUUUUGGUUUCCCUAUAUGGAAUUCAUUCUCGAGAUCAAUAGGACUAGCAACAAUAUGAAUUAAGUUAGCCAGUAAAUUUUUGGCAACAAAAUGUAAGUCUAAUUUGAGUAUUUUGAUAAUCUUUAUAAAUUAUACUUUCAAGUGCGUUGGUGUGAAAAGGAUGAUCAACAUCGACUCCGAAAGUAUGGAUAUAUAUAGUAAUAAGCUACCUAUAUAUAUAAUACUAUAUAUAGUAUCUAUAUACGGUGUAUUUAUACAUAUACACUAUACUAUAUAACUAGCAUACCUAUAUAGACUGCAUCUAUAUACAAUACUAAAAUAUCUAUUGACCCUUCUCCAUCGAAACAUAAAUAGAAACGGUCCACAAGCUUUAUCAUUGGUUGGCAUUAGCUCAAUUGUUGGCAAAAAAAAGCUCCUUCACUAGUGGUAUUGAGGAUGGUAAUGGUGGUGAGAUGAUGAGCGCCAUAAAAAUCUGUUAACGUGAUUAUAAAAUUGGAGAACUUUUAUAAAGUUCAACUUUCAUAUGUUGUCCAAACAAAAGUUCUAAUAUUUUCAAAUACGUUCUCUGGUUUAUUACCGUUCGACAACUUUUAUAUUUCAACAACAAAUAAAUAAAAUGCCAAUUUUGCCAUCACAAAUAUACUUCUCCAAAAAUCACAACAGUAUAAUCACUAUAACAGAAUUAGGUUAUAGCGACAAAUUUUUGGGACACUUUAAUAUAUGUGUCACAUUUAUGUCAAAUUUUUUUAAAAAAAUCUAUUAAGACCUAAAUAUGAAGCCCAAUUUAAUCAAAAAUAAAAAAUUCCUUUACUCAACUAACCGCACCAAGCCCACUCGGUCCGAUUACAAAUAAAAAAGAAAAAAAAAGAAAAAAUUGAUCACCAUCUCCUCUUCUCCUCCUCCGCUGUCGUAGCCAACGAGGUAGGGUUCUGGCGGCUGGAGUUCGCCCGUGAGGAUCUUGCAGGAAUCGUAAAGGGCUACGAUCACCACGUAUCCCUCUGCCACAGGUCGUUGGAGGAGUGGGUGCCAAAUAUGAAGGCGGCCAUACCUAUACCGACCCCACAUAUAGUAACACUUUUAAAAAGUGUCGGUAAUUUAGUUAGCACUUUUUUUGAUCUAUACUGAUAUUUAAAAGUGUCGCUAUAUACCUUUUUUGUUGUAGUGAAUAUAAAAGGGUAAAAAUUAAAUAUCAAGUUAUCUCAUAAACUAACCAAGACUAAUAUUGGAUGUGACCCACGUGAUUUAUUCAAGGCGAUCUAUAAAGAUACAGUCGGUCUAUUCAAGUCGAUUUAUAAAGAUAUGGUAGAUCUAACGGUUAGGAUGUAUCUGGACAUGUCUUUAAUGGACGGACGUGGUUUAACAUCCUUAUACUAAGUUAUAUAUAAAUAUGUAACAUAUGGGAGUCCCGAUCUAAUUUUCUGUGAUGGCUCCAUCUCCGGGGAUAAGGGAAUUAGACUCCAAACGUCCCGUUUUCUUGUAGAUCGCAAACAAGAACGGACCACGAGCAAAAAAAUCGCGCCUACAAAUCGGGUAUAGAAAUCGAAAUCAUGGCAGAAGUUAUGAUCUUAGUUUCUAAUAAAGUUUCAACAAAGCGCUCUUUCUUUCUCUAGCCCACGGGGACAUAUAUUUCAACUGACCCACGUAAAUCUUGGUAUUCUUGGUUGUGCAAUUGUUGUGACUUCUCUAUACCUUCUAUUAUCGCUGGUAUGUUUGCUUUCGCUAUUUUUCAGCACUCGAUUGGAUUCUUUCCCAACACUUUCUACAAUGAUCGUAGUGCUGAUUUAUGUAGCUUGCCUACUAGAUUCACUCAUUACAUGAAAAAUUGUUGUGUCGACAAAGAAAAAUGAAGAUUGCAGUACGAGUUCCAAUCUUUGUACGAGAAAUCGCCGUCAUCGUAAAGUUCGUACCUUUAGCUCUACAAGGCAGGUUGGAUUGCAUUGAUUACCAGAUCUGGUAAAGGCAUAAAGAACUAAGGCUUUAAUGACCGUUCCUAAUUUUUCCACCUUGUCAGGUAAUGAAGCGGUUGUAAAGGUUAGCUACUACAAUCUAUAACUCUAUAUGAAUUCCCAAUAAAAUUGAUGACAUGGCAAGUUCUUCUUUUUUUAAAUUUUUUAAUUUUUUUUAUAUAUUUUAAUGGUGGUUCAUUCUUCUUUAUUCUUACAUUUAAUAUUCUUAAUAGUUAUAACUCCAUUAAUACUCACCUCUUAAUUACUCUUUAAUUUUAUUUAUAUCUCCUUUAAAUUUUUUAAUAGUGAAAUAUUUAAGACAUUAAUUAUAAAGGAAAAAAACUGUCUAAUUAUUGCCCAAGAAUAAUUGCUUCAGUUUUAUAUGUUUAUAUUUUUACUAUCUUAUUAUAUUUAAUUUAAUGUUGCUAAUGAUAGCUAUAUAUUACAUGCAUAUGUUUUUCUUUCCUAAUUAAUUAAAUAAAUACUAUACUUUAGAUAACAAAUUAAUAUGUGGUAGUAAAUAUAGCUUCUCUAAAUCCUAAAUCCUAAAAUCCCAACCUUUCCUCUCCCUCCGCACCCUCCCUCGCCACCGCCCCUCCGAUCGGUGGCGCCUCCUCUCCGCCGGCCCCGCCGCCGUCCACACGGCGGUGGCCAUCUAGAAGGAGACCUCGGAGAGAGCGGCAGGAGACCUUCCUCCGCAUGGCGGACCUCGCUACUGCCACGUCCGUGCGCGCCCGUUCAAGCGGAUGAUCCGCGAGACCUCGUGACGAGAUGUGCGCGCGCUCAAGGCCGUGGACGGGGCACCGGUUCAAGAGGAUGUCUGAUCGCGCCCAUUUGCAACAAUUUCGAACUCUUAUACGAGCCCACUCCUACCCUCGAUCACUCCUUUCUCGAAAGAAAGUAAGAACUCUAUAUAAGUUUUUUAAUUUAUCCGCCGCAUCGCGUGAAUUCCUACACUUAUAAAUUAUUACUAAACUGAAAAUAUAACUAAAAUAUCUCUAUUUCCGAUAUAGGGACAACUCAUUCUUUUUUAUACUAUUCAUAAAAAUGUAGGCAUGGAGUGGAGUUUAAUAUCUAAAUUUUUUCGACAGCUUUAUUUAUUUAUAAAGAAUCUAUCCGCUGCAACGCGCGGGUGCCUUCACUAGUGAUAGUUGAUACUUGUUAUUAACUUGUUAAGAAAGGUAUAGGUUACCUGUGGUUAAAUUAAUUUGUAUUGGUUCGGCUGUUCGUGUUCUUACUUUGUUUUUUUUUAAGGGUAUUUGCAUACACGUCCCUGCAAACAUAGUGAAUUGCGGAAAUAUCCCUGCAAAACGGAAACUCCAUAAGCUGUCCCUGCAAAAGUCCUAAUUUAUGCAGAAUGUCCCUCUGAUUAACAUCUGUUAGAGAACUGUUUUUUUUAACAGUUUUCAUGUGAAAUGACCAUUUUGCCCUCACAAAUAUAUCCCUCCAAAAGCAUCUUCCCCCUCUCUUUCUCUUCCUCUUCCUCUUUGGGGCCGCCGGAGCGGAUGGCGGCGACGGCGCGGGUCGAGCUCGCCGGCGACAAAGAAGAGGGAAGAGAAAGAAUGAGAGGAAGAAAAAAGGGAAGAGGAAGAAGUAGAGGAAGAGGGAGAGAAGCGGGAAGAGAAAGAUGAAGAGGAAAAGGGUUCGUAGCCGCGCGCCGCCGCCGCAUCUCCUCCCUCGCCGGCGACGAAGAAGAGGGAAGAGAAGAGGAAGAGAAAAGAAAAGGGAGAGGAAGAAGAAGAGGGAGAGGAGAGGGUUCGCCGCGCCGUCGCAUCUUCUCCCUCGCCAGCGAUGAAGAAGAGGGAAGAGGAAGAGGAGAGGAAGAAGAAGGGAGAAAAGGGAAGAGGAGAGGAAGAAGAGGAAAAGAAAGAGGAGAGGGUUUGCCGUCGCCGCCGUCGUCGCCGCCGUCGCUGCCGCCGCCGCCCUCGCCGCGACGAAGAAGAGGGAAAAGAAGAUGAGGAAGAAGAAGAAGGGUAGGAUCGUAAAUUUACCUUAUAAUUAACCAUGAUUAAGUACUUUAACGUGGUUAAUGAAAAUUUCUAAUAGUCCUUAACGGCAGGACAUAUCUGCAUAACUUUAACUUUUGCAGGGAUAACUUUGGAGUUUCGUUUUGCAGGGAUAUUUCCGCAAUUGACUAUGUUUGCAGGGACCUGUAUGCAUUUAACCUUUUUUUUAAAAUGGAUAAUAUUUAAUGCAUUCCUUAAAACUACAAAAACACAUAAUAUACUAUUAGUGGACCAUUAUGCCUAUAUUAAUUUCCAAUAAUUCCUUCAAAUAUACUCCAACCUUAGGGUUUACUAAUGGGUUGGGGUUUAGAAAGUAUUUAAGGAAUAGAGGGGUAAAUUUAAAAAUUUUGAAUAACAAUGAGAGGUAUAUAUAUAUAUAAUAUUAUAUAUAUAUAUAUAUAUAUAUAUAUAUAUAUAUAUAUAUAUAUAUAUAUAUAUAUAUAUAUUAUAUAUAUUAUAUAAUAUAUAAUAAUUAUGCUCUAUACUAUCAAUAGUACCAAGCCCUUGUACUAUUGAGUUUUUGGCCGUUGGAUGAAAGGAUGUGCAGUUAGAAUGAUAGUGAUCCCCUAGGGUUGAGUGGGUGGUUGGUUUAAUAGCAUAAUCUAACAGGUGUGAAAUGAUCACAGGGUAGAUCUAACGGUAGAAAACUCUAUAGUACCAAAGGCUUGGUACUAUCAAUAGUGUAAUAUAUAUAAUAUAUAAUAUAAUAUAUAUAUAUAUUAAUUAUAUAUAUAUAUAUAUAUAUAUAUAUAUAUUAUAUAUAUAUAUAUAUAAUAUAUAUAUAGUGGAGCUAGAAUACUUUUAGAAGUACCAGUGGGUGUGCUUUAGAGUUUUUAGCCAUUGGAUGGUGAGAUGUGAGGUUGAGAUGAUGGUGUAGGUGGUGGUAAGUGGUGGUAGGUGGAAUAGUGUUUGAUCCAAGGGAUAUUAUAAUUAUGAGUGAAUCCAAGGGCUAGAAACUUAAAAGCACCAAGUGGGUGGUGCAUCUAAGAAGAUCCUAGCUCAACUUCUCUCUCUCUCUCUUCUCUCUCUCAUCUCUCUCUCUCUCUUCUUAAUAAUAUAUAUAUAGUAGGUCUUGUGUGCUAUUCUCCGUGCUCCUAAGCCGUUUUUGAUGAUGGAGCUUCCAAAUUGACGAUUAGCUUCAUUAUACUUGAUCUAGCGUAUUUGAAGUAUUUAGGAAAUAAAUUUUACGAUUUUUCAAUAUCAUUUAUCUAGCGAUCGAAAGGGUUCAAAAUCAAUGGCUGAAAAUAAAAAUCCCACAAAAAGUGGUGAUAUAGCACUAAAAUUUUCGAUCAGAGAUAUUGAUCUUGCUGUAAAUAGUAUAAAGAAUUUUCUAUCAAAAUUUCAUCUGAUUUAAAUGCUUCUACACCGUUAAACUUGCAAACGGUAUACAUCAACUAUUAAAAAUUGUUGAUAUUAAACCCUUUCGAUCACUAGGUAAAUAAUAUCGAAAAAUCACAAAAUUUAUUUUCUAGAUACUUCAAAUACGCUAGAUCAAGUCUAACGGAGCCGAUCGUCGAUUCGGAAGCUCCAUCAUCGAAAACGGCUUAGGAGCACGGAGGCUUCCGUGCUCCUAAUAGCACACAAGACCUACUCUCUCUCUCUCUCUCUCUCUCUCUCUCUCUCUAUAUAUAUAUAUAUAUAUAUAUAUAUAUAUAUAUAUAUAUAUAUAUAUAUAUAUAUAAUUAACUAGGCUGGAAUAUUACUAAUAGUACGAAGUUAUUGGUGCUAUUAGUUUUUUAGCCAUUGGAUUUAGAAAUGUGCGGUUAGCAUGAUAUGAGUCUCUAGGGUUGAGUGGGUGGUUGGUUGAAUAGUAUAAUCUAACGGGUAAAAAUAAUCAAAGGGUUAAAUCUAAUAUAUAUAUAUAUAUAGGCUGGGACUACUAUACUUUUAUGAGUGUAAGCCUCCUUGUACUCAUAAAUUUUUAACCAUUGAUUGAUGGGAUGUGUGCAUGGUUCGGAUGAUGGUGGUCCCCACUUAGAAUGAUAGUGGAUCCCUAGGGUUGAGUGGGUAGUUGGUUUAAUAGUAUGAUCUAAUGGGUGGAAAUGAUCAAUUGAAUAAAUCUAAGGGUAAAAAACUUAUGAGUAUAAAAGAGCCGAUACUCAUAAAAGUAUAGUAGCCAUAUAUAUNNNNNNNNNNNNNUUCAAAUACUCUAGAUCAAGUUUAAUUGAGCCGAUUGUCGAUUCGAAAGUCCCAACAUCGAAAACGACUUGGAAGCACGGAGUGCUCCAUGCUUCCAAAAGCAGACCAGCUCACAAUAUAUAUAUAUAUAUAUAUAUAUUCCGGCUGGGAUACUAUCGAUAGCACGAAACAUUUGGUGCUAUCAAGUUUUGUCGUUAGAUUUAUCUCUUUUAUCAUUUUCAUCCAUUCGAUUAUACUAUUCAACUAAUCACCCACUCAAUCCUAGGGGUGAACAUCAUCGUAACCGCACAUCUUUUAAUGAAAGGGCAGAAAACUUAAUAGCACAAAGUUAUUAGUGCUAUUAAUAGUAUUCCUGCCUAGUUCUAUAUAUAUAUAUAUAUAUGGGUCAAAUGCAUACAGCUCCCUGCAAACAUAGCCAAUUGCGAAAAUAUCCCUGCAAAACGGAAACUCCAUAAGUUGUCCCUGCAAAAGUCCUAAGUUAUGCAGAUAUAUCCCUCCGGUUAACAUCCGUUAGUGAUCCGUUUAUUUUUUAACAGUGGAUUCGUGAAAUGACCAUUUUACCCUUACAAAUAUAUCCCUCCAAAAGUUUUCCUCUUCCCCUUCUCUUUCUCUUCCUCUUCGGACUGUCGAAGCAGACGACGGCGGUGGCGGUGGCGGCGCGGGGUCGGGUUCGCCGGCGACGAAGAAGAGGGAAGAACGCCAGGACACCGGAGCUCUACUUGGAGCUCGUCGCCCUCAACGCCGUCCCCUCCCUCGUCGGCCUUCUCGGCGCCGACAUCGCCGUCGACGUCGUCUCCCUCCUCACCGACCUCACCGACAUCGACAUCAUCGGCGACCACGACGACCCCGCGCACGCCCUCGUCGCUGCCCUCAUCGACAACAACGCCCUUGAGCUUCUCGUCCAGAAACUCGCCCACCUUUCCGAGGCCGACCCCGACGAGGUUCUUCUCCCUCGCCGGUGAUGAAGAAGAGGGAAGAGGAAGAGGAAGAAGGAAGAAGGAAGAAGAAGGGAAAAGAGGAAGAGGGAAGAGGAAAAGGAAGGGGGUUCGCCACCGUCCUCGCCGUCGCCGCCGCAUCUCCUCGCCGGCGACGAAGAAGAAGGAAGAGGAAGAGGAGGAAGAGGAAGAACGGUAAAUACGUCAAUUCACACUAUAAUUAACCAUGGUUAAGUAUUUUAACCGUGGUUAACGAAAAUUUUCUAGCAGAUCUGGACGGCAGGGACAUAUCUGCAUAACUUAGGACUUUUGCAGGGACAACUUAUGGAGUUUCCAAUUUGCAGGGAUAUAUCCGCAAUUCACUAUGUUUGCAGGGACGUGUAUGCAAAUAACCCCAUAUAUAUAGUCAUUGGUGCUAUUAGUAGUAUUCUGGAAUACUAUUAAUAGCACUAAUGAUUAUAUAUAUAGAGCUAGGCUGGAAUACUAUUGAUAGCAAAAGACUUUUUUUGCUAUCAAGAUUUUAGCCUUUGGAUGAGAAAUUGUAGGGUUAGGAUGAUAUUAAUCCCUUAGGGUUGAGUGGUACCCAUAAGGUUGAGUGGUCUCCACUGGGUUGUAAUAUUUAAUUCAAUAGGGUUAGGAUGAUAUUAAUCCCUUAGGGUUGAGUGGUCCCCAUAAGGUUGAGUGGUCGCCACUGAAUUUUUAGCCUUUGGAUCAAUUUUUUUCAUCAUUUCUAACUAUUGAAUUAAAUAUUACAACCCAGUGGAGACCACUCAACCCUAUGGACUAAUAUCAUUCUAACCCUACAAUUUCUCAUCCAAAAGUUAAAAACUUAAUAGCAAAAGAACUUUUUAUUAUCAAUAGUAUUCUAGCCUAGCUCUCUCUCUCUCUCUCUCUCUCACUAUAUAUAUAUAUAUAUAUAUAUAUAUAUAAAAGCAAAAGCCCUACUUGUGAAAAAACAGGCCCUUCAUUUGUUGGACUAGGAACUUCCUUGCUUUGAUCUUAUGGUAGCUUUUUUUAUGAGUAAAGCAAUUUCUGCCUACAUUGCUUCAACAUGUUCUAAUACUGUUCCAUUACUAUAUUUGCCUGUUUUAAUUGCAUAAAACUGAUAAUUGGUUGAAAUUAUAUAUAUCUUUAAAUUAUUUCGUCAAUAUGCGCCUUUCACUUUUUUUUUGAGAAAUAGAUAGCUAACUACCUGUUUUAUUCAUUAAGCAAACGAACUAAGUGUACAACAUGGAAGCAGUUUAGGCCUCCGAAAAAAAAAACAAACAGAACAUAAGAGAAGAUAAAAAAUAAAAAUAAAAACAGAAAACGUAAAAAGAGCGAGGAACAAAGAUGAUUAGAGGUGCUCGGACCACGCGCUCGUCAAAAAUUUGACCCAUUCGAUUGAUGGGGUAACGUUGUGUAGAUUCGCCUCAAAAAUUGUAAGCUAAUUUCACUUUAAAGUUAGAUUCUACAUACCAUAUUUUAAAACAAGCGUUUGUUUGGCCUUAUUUUCAUUUCUAUUUUUCAUUGCUGCAACCUCUUAGAGAGCAUUUGUACAUAGUUCUCAAUCAAAACAAACUUUUUUUUUUCUUUAAGCCAAUUUUAGUUUUUAAAUUCUUUCUAAAAAAUAAACUGUUGGCAUUCGGUUAAAUCGAAUUGGUGGCAUUCGGUUAAACCGAAUCGGGUGCGCCCAUGAUCGGGCUCGAUCCGACGGUUAUUAUGUUAUCUAAUUGGAUUGGGAUUAAUCUCGCUUUUAAAUUGGAAAGUUAAUUAGAGAUAAAUUCUAAUAUAAUAAUUAAUAACCAAUUUGACCUUAUCUCUUACGUUAUUAGGAUUUUGGAAUUUCUUAUAAAUAUACGGACGAUCCCACAUAAAAUCAUGAACGAAAAAAGAAAAAGAAGAAGAAAACAAAAGAGAGAAACGAAGAAACCACAUCCUCCAUCACUACAACAAAACUAACCUAUAGCGAUAAUUUUAAGUGUCCCUAAAAUCUAAAAAAAGUGUUGCUGGCAAAAAUACCGAUACUAAAAAUAGUGUCACUAUAUGUGCAGUCCCUAGGGUAUAUAGCGACACAUAAUAAAGUGUUGGUAUAUCCCAAAUAAGUACUGCAGUUUAGUGACACUUUUUUUUUUUCUUUUAGUGACACACAUAAGUGUCUCUAAUUUUUUUAAAAAAAGUAAUUAUUUUUUUAUAUAGUGACACUUUAUAAGUGUCCCAUUGUCAUUCAAUAUAUAAUAUUUUAUUUAAACAUCUAGUCUAGUAUUAAACUUUAAUUAAACUAAUCUCAUGUACAUUAAAUCGAUGAGACUAAAAAAAAAGCAAUCAACAAAGUUCCUUAAAUUUUCGUUAAAAUGAUAAAACUAAAAUCAAAUAUCCAUACGUCACACAACAAUAUCCACUCAUAUGUUGUAGUAAUUAUAACAAAUUAAACUCUCUAACUUUAAAAAAUACAAAAAAUCAAAAAUUGUUUGAUAACAAAAAUCAAAAAGUGCAUAAACGAAUUCUGAUCGGCCCCACGACUAUAUACUUGAACCUGCACAUUGAAAAACAUUUGAAUUAAUUCAAAUUUGUGCAACAUCUUUGAUUUGCCAAAGCAUUAAAAAAAAAGACUCUUGUUGAAAUUCUAUCACAUGCAUCUAUUAAAAUGUACACAAUUGUUGCAGAACUUGAACUAUAAUGGAGCUUUGAAAUAGACUUGUCAUUGUUUGUCGGCACCCUCCCAAUAUUUUUUCUUUCCCUUUUGAUUUGUGUUAUUUCUACCGAAUUGGUUGGGGGUUAAGUUAAACUUAACUAUCAGUUAACUACCUAAUACUAAUUGUCAACAAACCCCACAAUUUUGACAAACAGAACUUGUAAAGCCACUCAAAUUAAUCAAAUUACAAUUAAACCUAACAAACUCGCCACAAUUCAACACGCAAAGGAAACAAAUUAAUUGAAACAAAUGAAAGUUGCGGAGGAUGUGCGUACAUUCAGGAUAAUUACGGAUAUAUAUUGGGGGGAUGGCACAUUUCUAUGGAUUUGUUGAAUAAUAUUUAUGUAAUAUUCUAGAAUAACCUAGUUUGACCAGAAUAAUUAUAAGUUCUAACGAACGUCUUACAUAUUCUUUAGCUAUAAAAGGAUAAAUCCAAUUAUCCCUCUAUUGUCCCACCCAAACAAAUUUACAUCAUAAUCAAAUUAGUAUAUUAAGGAAAAAAGGCACAGAUCAAACUAACGAUAGCAACUCAAUGAAGUGAUUGUUCCAAUAGAACAUAUCGACCUACGUUAUCAUGGUGCUGGAGAAAUAGAUCAAACUAAUUGCAAACAAAAUCUAGAGAAAAGAAAUUACUUUUUCCCUACCUCAGUUAAUGCUGAAUGGAUACUUUCCCUCUAGGCAUCUAAGUGGCCACUUAAUCUCCUGCACAAAAGGAGAGAAACAUAAAUAGGCAAAUCAAGAUAAAAUAAAGGGAUUGAGAAAAAAAAAAGAAAAAAGAAAAAAGAAAAAAGUAAAGCACUUUGAAACUACCUUGGCUUGUCAGACUUGGCAAAAUGCUUGGACAUUAUAGAAGCCUGCAUGGUUAUUUAACAUACAUACCAGGUUACUCUCACAAGUUCCAUAUAAACUCGCACCAACUACCUUUUGUUACUAGGAAGGGAUUAAAAACUUGCACUAACUACUAAAGGAAUUUGAACGGUGGAUUUGCGAUCGUGCUCGUUUGUGGUUCGAUCCACCGCGAGUUCGGAGCGUUAGAAGACCUUCAAGGAUGAUCCAAGGACACAUGAAUCAACCUCUACGAUCCGGGCUCGUCGCGUUGUAGCGCGAAUCGCUUCCGCAAAAAGGUACGAACGAAUAGUUCCGCUGCGUUCUACAAAAACAAAACUAACUAGAUGGCCAAAGAGGGGAGUGAGCGGAAGAAGGGGCAGAGCAUCACCUCUUGGCUUCCCCAUUGCUGGUAACGAUCAGACUAGCUGCUGGAGGAGGCUACCUAAAGGAUCUUUCACGCAGAGAGUAGAGUUGCAGCGAGGGAAGGCCUCGACAGGGCGCGAGGAGAUGUUGGUUCCCCCCCAAGAAUGAUCGCUGUAAUAAUGAUAGGGGUAUAGAAAAGGUGUUGGAGCCCGAAGUGGAGAGACGUUACCAAAGGCUUUUGGACUCCCUGCUUAGGAUCCAGGCUUUGAACUGUAGGGAGGAUAGGAGAGUUGGAGUUGGUGGAGUUAUUGCUAAGCAUAACUCCACAAGACUUGCUUUCCCUAUCCAGCUUGUUGAGGAGAAGAGUAGAGAAAUUAAUGACGUUCAUCAAACUGGUAUGGGUUCUGGUAGAUUCAGAGCUGUGAAGGCGAGAAAGGAGCUAUUGUCUUCAGGAAAGUUGCAUUUACACCAGCCUGUUGGAGGGGGGGAGGAAGUCCUAUAAAGAGGCUCUCCUAACCCCAGUCAAGCCGCAGAGGCAAACAAAUUCUAAACCUAGCUUCUCCAAGGAAGAUCUUAAGAGUGGUGUGAACGGAAAGUGUCGUAUUUUCUCCGGCAAGUGCUUCAGAUGCUUGACUUCCGACCAUAAAGUUAUCAACUGCCGAGACCCGCUCAGGUGCUUCCAUUGUCUCGGUACUGGCCACAGGGCUUCUCAAUGCAAGGCUAAGCCUCUUGAUCGCAGCGACAACAUGCUGAGAGCACACCGCGCACGAGGGCGCGUUCCGUCUCAACGUGUGGUUGUCCCUUACACAGAGGAUUACUACACUCGCAGAGAGCUACGUCAAAAUGCUAUUCUUGUUGAUAUCGUCUAGCCGGCGAACCUUGGUCACUCGCCGCAGCAGACGAUUGCCAACGCCUUGGCGAAUCGAUUCGGUGGUUACCCAACUGACUUUAUGGUGGCGCGACAUAGGGAGCACGACUUCGCGGUGUUCCUGCCGGAGUGGGUCUCAGCGGAGACUUAUAAGGAGGAGGGUUACUACUCUGGAGGGCUUUUGGAUUAACUGUUUCGAGUGGGGACAGUAUCGACUCACUACCCCCCACAGAUUCCCUUUCAAGGUGUGGAUAAAAUUGUUUAACCUCCCUUUCGAAAGUUGGUCGAUUCCUAGAGUGGCGGCAAUCGUCGGAGGCUUCGGGCGGUUCCUCCGGGCAGAUGAAAAUUCCAAAUCAAUGAUGGACCUAAGGGCAUACCGGUGUCAGAUCGCGGUUCAUGAGCUGACGGAUAUCCCGCAGAAUGUGUCAUUGAUUUUGGGGGACGAGUUAUUCCCCAUUAUGGUCACUGUCGAGAGCUGGGAGGAAGAUGAUAAUGGUCGGAGGCGAUGGAGGAUGGCUCGGAUCGAUGAUUCUGACCUUCCAUGCAUAGCUAUGCAUAGUACCCUUGCCUUGCCGAGUCUCGCACUGAAUGCUUCAUCAGUGUGCGUUACCAUGGAAAGCACGCGCGGCAAGCUAGAGAUUAAGCCUAAAUCCAUCUUUAACGCGCGCUCCUGGCAGACUUUGCUCCGUCGGACGGCACCGCCGGCAGGCAAUCGGUAGGCUCGAUCGCCGGACAAGUUGUGCCGAUCUCCCCUCUCGGGAUCUGCGCCGUCUCAGCCGCCCCAACGGCCAUCUACAGCACCCCCUUCGAGAAGGAAAUGAAAUGGAGCAGUUUGGCAGAUUCGAGACUUUCACUUGCUGGGGGCAUUUUUUAAACGAUGGGUUUCUCGAAAGACCAGGUUUACCCAUUUGUGUUAAGGCUUUCUCUGCUGAACCUUCAAAAAGGGUGGACCAUUUUAAAGAGGGUUCGUUUCCCAAGGUGCAUUUAUUUUUGAAGACUUGGCUGGAGCUUUCUCUCGUCUUUUCUGAUCACAGCUUGAGGGUGAUUUUUGGGGGCCCACUGUUUCCUACCCUUGGGUUCAGCAUUGUGGUGCCCACGGGGAUGCUCAGGUGGGGCCAGGAGUUUGACUUUAACUCUCAAGCAAUGACAGGGAAUGAAGUGAUGGACCCCCAAGAUGUCUUCAGCGCUGGUCACGAGAAUUUGAGUCGUGGGGGUCAAGUGAUUUCGCUGCCACCUAAAUGCGAUCCGGGAGUUCGCUUAGCUAGGCAUUCAAGCCCACGUUUUGCUAACAAAUCCUUGGGCUCUAUAACUCAAAAAGCCUUAACGAGAAAAAUGGUGCUCCGGGAAGGACUCGAGAGUGGUGGACUGAAGGGCCCACACACGUAUGGAAAAAAGAAAAUUGCGAAAAAAAGUAAACAGUGUGGUGUACUUCUUAGCGAGUUCGACGCACAAGUGUUCGAGGCCUUUCUGCAGGGCAGUGCCUGAGGCCACACCCCGUUUUCCCUUUUUGGAGUGUUCGUAGCUUGUUUUGCUCAGUUAUGUUUAGUAUCUAUAGUUGGAACGUUAGGGGUAUUGGUGAUCCGUGUAAAAGACGUGCUGUUAAAUGUAUGGUGUCUACCCUCAAGAAGGCGGUGGUUUGUUUGCAAGAAACAAAAAUUAGUUCCUGUUCUCUCUCUUUUUUGCGCAGUAUAUGUGGGUCUUUUUACGAUAAAUUUUAGUUGAUUGAAGCUGUUGGAGCAUCGGGUGGACUUUUGACUUGUUGGAGCUCGCGGGUAUUUUCUUGCGGUGAAGCUUAUUUAAAACAAUACUCCAUCACCAUCCGACUUACACUUACUCAGAGUGGUUCUAGUUUCUAUGUUACCAACGUUUACGGUCCUCCGACCUGGGAGGGAACGGAGGAGUUCUAUACUGAAUUGGCACGUCUUAAAGGCAUAUGCAAGGGUUGUUGGGUCUUAUGUGGGGAUUUUAAUUUCACUAGAGAAGCCAAUUGGAACGCAGAGGUAAAACUUGGAGUACUAGAGCUUCGAACAUGUUCAAUGACAUAAUCAAUUAUCUUGAGCUUUUGGACUUACCGAUGAAGAAUCAAGCUUUCAUGUGGUUGAAUAUGCAAAAUCAUCCUACCCUAGCUAAACUUGACCGUUUCCUCAUCUCAACCGAAUGGGACCAGCAAUUCCCAAUGUCAAAUGUGGAGGCAGUUCCUAGAAUUACUUCCGACUACUGUCCCAUUUUACUUUCAACUGGGGAUAAACCCAACGUAAGCUAUUCAGAUUGAAAGAGGUCUGGUUACGUAAUGAAGAUUUCAUCAAACGUAUCCCAGUGUGGUGGAGGGAAGUACAGCAUAACGACUCAGCACUUCACUCUCUUAAUGCUAAACUAAGACACUGUCGAAAGCAGAUCAAGAAAUGGUGCGCAUCAAAUUUCUAUAAUAUUUGAAAAUCUAAAUCUGAAAUUAUGCUUGAGAUACAGAAGAUCGACGAAUUAGAAGAGCAAAGCUUUUUGAUGGUAGAGUUACAAGAGAGACAGGAGACUCUCAAGACUCGUCUCUCUAUUGUCCUCAAAGAUGAAGAAGAGUUAUGGAAAUUACGUGCCAAGCAACAAUGGUUAAAGGACGGUGACGGAAAUACGAAGUUUUUCCAUGCGCUUGCUAACAACAAGAGGCGUUUUAAUGAAAUCGGGAAGAUUGUCGACGAGGGCAAUUAUUUUAUUAAGGAAGAAGAAAAGAUACACUACUUUUGGAGAAAAUUUAAGGAACUCUACACUCCGGAUUUUAAUGUACCAAACUCGGUUGGGGACUGGAGUGAACUUUUUCAAACCAGAAGGGUGGUCAACCCAAAUCUUUUAACCAUUCCCUUUGAUAUAGAGGAGAUCAAAACGGUGGUGUUCCAACUUGGAGGGGAUAAAGCGCCGGGACCCGAUGGCUUCCCUUUGAGUUUCUACCAGACCUUUUGGGAUGUCGUCAAAAAUGAUAUCUUAUUGAUCUUUCAAGAGCUUUAUGACGGACGACUCUCAACACGUGCCAUCGACUACCCUUACAUCUGCCUUAUCCCAAAAAAAGAAGGAGCGGCAAGGGCCAAUGACUUUAGACCGAUCAGUUUACUGAAUGGAAUCCAAAAAGUUAUCUCCAAAGUUUUAGCAAACCGUUUAGAAGGAGUAAUGCAAGACCUUAUCUCUACUUCACAAUCGGCUUUUUUGAAAGGGAGACUGUUGGCUGAUGCUUUUGUAACUUCUCACGAGCUUAUGACAUGGGGCUUUAAGGAGGGUGUGGAGGGGGUGGGGGUAAAAGUAGAUUUUGAGAAAGCAUAUGAUAAAGUCAACUGGUCUUUCCUCGGAAAGGUGUUAGAGUUACUGGGCUUUAAUGAUAAAUGGUGUGGUUGGGUCAAUGAAUGCGUGUGUAACUCUAAGUUGGCUGUCUUGGUCAAUGGUGUAGCAACCAAAUGGAUCAAAUCGAAAAGAAGACUACGUCAAGGCGACCCUUUAUCUCCCUACCUUUUUCUACUGGUGGUUGAGUGUCUUGCCAGAAUGUCUGAUAGGGCUGAGGAGUCCAACCUCAUUAAAGGUAUUGGACCAACGCAUGACAGCGUCGUAACAUUAAUACAGUACGCAGAUGAUACCUUAUUUUUUUGAGAGGCGAGGAAAAGUCAUAUGCGUAACCUCAAAUUUCUGUGGAUUCUUUUCGAGUGGGCUUCUGGGAUAAAGAUUAAUUAAGAGAAGUCUGAAUUAUUUUACAUGGGGAAUAAGAGUGGAAAGGACACUAGACUUACUGACAUCUUGCAAUGUAAAGUUGGAAUUUACCUGUUAAAUAUCUGGGACUGCCAUUAACCCCCAGAAAGCUUAGAAAAGAAGACUGAGCUAGUGUCAGCUAUAAUUUUCAAAGGAGAAUUGAUGGGUGGCAGGCUAAACUACUUUCUAGAGGCGGCAGGUUUACUUUGGUUAAUUCUGUCCUCUCUAACCUGCCGUUGCAUUUUUUCUCUAUUUUUAAAGCACUAAAAUGGGUUUUAAAGCGUCUGAAGGCUCUAAGGAGGGACUUCUUUUGGAAAGGACGAGCAAACUACUCAGGGGGAAGCUAUUUAGUUGCUUGGCGAAAGGUGUGUUGAGUCGGAAGGAAGGCUGCCUAGGUAUCAAGGAUUUGGCCACUAUGAAUGAUGCUUUACUAUCUAAAUGGUGGUGGCGUUUCCUGACCGAAAAAGGGCUUCCCUGGAUUAAACUGAUCAAGAGCUUUUACUAUAAAAGAAGACGACCGCUAGCUGAAGGACGGUUGUUGAAGCAUAAAAAAAGAGAGAGGAAUAAAAGAGGAAAAAGAAAGAAAAAGAAAAAAAAGGGAAGAGAAAGAAAUAAAAAAAAAGAGAGAUGGUUUAUGAGAUGAUCCAUGCACUAGGUGCAUGGAUAAAAAUUUAUGUUCAAAUUUUGAACGCGGAAAGUGGGACGUUCUCGUAGGUGCGAACGGAUAUAAAAAUAGCAUAUUAGUCCAUUCCCUUUCAUGUAUUUACAAAAUGCUCCGCUUUAAUCAUAUAAUAUUUUAUUAUUUUGACUAAAGUGUAAUAUGAGCAAAGAGAAAGGAUUAAUUCGCAAUAUUCCCACAAUCUCAUCGUAACCACCCAUCAUUCUACAAUCUCAUCGUAACCACCCAUCAUCCCACAAUCCCAUUACGAUAACCCACGAUUCCAUCAUCCCACGAUCCCCUAACCGCCCACGAUCCCAUAACCUCCCGCACAUCCAUGCGCACGUCUCCCUCAGGUUGGUUACAACCACCCCAUAAAUACCUUUCGAAAAAAAUCAAACAGAGAGCUUUUUGAACCUUCAAACCCAUUCUUAAAAAAAAAAUCCCAUCCCUGCCUACGAAAGAAAAAAAGAGAAAGGUAAAAAGAAAAAAAAAAUCUUUUCUCUUCUCCAUUAACGCCACAAUCAAACCUCUCUCUCUAUCCUCUCUCUCACUCUCUCUGUUGGUGAACUCGAUGCCGCCCCAUCGAUGCCGCCGCUGUAAAGCGGCGCCGCGCCGUUCGAAGCCGCUCGAAGCUGCGUCACCCUUGACCCACUCGAGCUUCCAUCCGGAAGCUCCUCGCGGCGCGCGCGCGUUCCCCCGCCGCGCGUCUCCUCCACUGCGGUCCCCCGUCGCCGGCGUAGACCCCCUCUUGUGCGGCCCCCAUCGAUCGAAGCCGCACGAGGUCGCUCAAAGCUCCCUCAUCACCGUCGAGCCGGCCUGUCACACCCCGAAAAUCUCGUUCCCCGGGCACGCCGACAAAUUCGCCGUAUACAAAGGAAUUUUUCCUGUAUACGAAGCGUCAAAGUACCAGUAGAAAUACGAUACUACAAACAGUAGCAUAGAGCUGCUCAAAAAACUAAAUAACUCUGCAGUUUCAUAUACAUAGCUAGAAUCCAACAAUACAAGGCUACUCGCACUAGGAGUUAAACAACUAUGUAACAAAACUCCAAAACAACAACUACUCUGCAGUAGGGGAAAAGCCUAAUAGCUCUGACUGUCGAGGUAGGCGCUCCUACUCGCAACUCCCUUCCUCGAUCGCUGGCGGCGGUAGGUGCAGCAGGCCGACACCUGUGCUCUUGCAAACACAAGUACAACUGGGCGUGAGAAGCUACUGUAAAAAUAGGUAAGUGCCUCAGUGGUACCUGGCCAACGACAUCAUCUCCCCGCCACUAAGUCUACAGAAGGAGGCAAAAGUAAGGAAAAGCAGGAUGUACACUCUAUAGCCGCUUAGCACCAUCUAUACUACCAGGCUUACGCUAACCAACUGUAGGAAAUGUCAAAUGCUGACCAAAUCCAAUCGGACUGUAAGGUCAUACCCUGUCCCGGACUGUGAUAUACAACCCUCCUGCCCGCUGGCGACUAUCGUCUAAAUCCACACUAACUUGGUCCGUGAGAAGCAAAGUUCCAACUGGCAUCGAGCGCACCAGCCAAAGCACACAAGCCGGACUCCGAGUGGCACUCGUGGGCACCCUACCCAACCGCAGUAUGCAGCGUAUCUCUGGUCGAGGCUCAUCGGCUCCAAACUAGCGCAAAGUCAGAAUAGUCUUGACUUCAAACUGUUCUAACCAACCAAACUAGAGUAAGCGUGCCCUCCAGCACAAUCUAACCCAAAAGGCGAUACGGGUGCCACCGUCAACAUCUAACGGGCAAGCCCAACAGCCCGAAACAACCUGAACGACCUCUGUAAAAAAUCCCACUCGUCGAAAACAGCACGAGUUAAAUAACCAUCUAAACUACCUGGAGUACUCGUCUCGAAGGAAACGGGCGACAGUACCAAUUUCUAAGGCUCCUAAGCUAACUCAGGUAUUAAUAACUGGUGAACAGUCCAGAAUCGUAGGUUGCUCCGUAUAGCUCAAAUCAAGUCCAACAAGUAUAAUUAUCAUCACUCACUAAGCAUGCUCCAAUUCAGGUUUUAAUAUAUCUAAACUACUAUGAAUUUUGAGCUUACCUUCAUUUAUGUUCACGAACAAAGCAAACAAGUCGAAAUAAUAUGUACUCUAGAGGCAAAAACCGGAUGAAUCCCCACCUCAUCAAGCAACUCCUGGCAGCGAAGAAAGUGGCCGCGAAUUGCCAAAAUGAAACCCUUGCUGUCCCGUACGAAUCGCCCGUUCUCCACUGUUGGCGAAGAGUAACCCCAAUUACAACUCGGAAUUCAAAUUCACAAAAUCUGCCCAGAAAACACAGCCGAAGAAAGCGUAAAUUCGAGCAAUAACUAUCCAAAUUCAGCAAACCAGGAGGGUUCUGAAGCUUCGUCUAAAGUCACAGAAUCGCAAUGUGUCCAGGUUCGCUGAAAUUCCGACGCUUCCCUACUCAGAGACGGCCAGAAAGAUCGAAACGUCGACGAAUGGAACUGCCUGGCGGAAAACAGCAUCUCUGAAUCUGCUGCAAAGCAGCAGCCUAGUAAAACUAGGUUCGACAGGCAAAGCGCUGCUCAAAAAAAAUCAGCGAUCUUGGCUCAAAUCUUCGUCUCGAAGUCGGGCGAAUCUAUGGCACGCCAAGAUUUCGUCGGGCGUUUCGACGAGUUCCUACACAGAGAACGUUAGGUAACACGUGGUCAAUGUCUGGAUCAUCAGGCAUCAAGCACUUCAGAGUCGCUGCGCGAAACCAACUCAAGUAGAAAGGAUUUCGACAGAGCAAACCUCUACCAAAGUGGGCGAGUAAGGUUCCUAAGAUUCGUCCUCGAAGUCUGCGGUUGCCAAACGAAUCAAGUUCGCGUCACGUUCUGAUGCUUGCCUGCGGCGGAAAAUGAGCCGGAAACACCGACAGGUCAUCACUGAAAUUCUGCGAAAACAGCGACAAUGCUGCGACUUCAUGGAGGCCUUGUAAGUAGAUGAAAAAAUCCAUGGAACGAAAGAGAGCAUACCACCCUCUAACAGCGACUCCAAUUGCCGGCACGGCGUCGAGAAGCGGUGACUACGGAAACACUUCCCACCCGCCUCCUCGUGAAACUACUGGCGAUGCUCGUAGCUCGACGCUCCGCUGGGCGUGACGUCGGAACACAAGAAGCUUCCAACACGAGCUCCUCCCUUGCUCGCCAACCCGCUAAGAGAGAGAGCAGAACAAUGGAAAGUUAAUUAAGGAGGUGGUGGUGGUGCAUCCUCGUUAAAUCACAGCAUGGGGAGAGGGAGGCCACGUGGCAUACUAAUAUAUAAUAUAUAUAUAUAUAUUAUAAUAGUAUAUAUAUAUAUAUAGAUAAUACAUUCUCACUCCCACUACAAAAAGUUUCGUCCUGCAAACUGAAAUGUCCCUUCUGCUUAGCAUCGAACAAGUUAUGGAUAAGUCCCCUCUCACCGCUCAGGCUCACAAGUCGCUCAUCCGCGUCAUCAGGAUUACUUCAACUGCAUUUCACAUACGGGAUGACCCGGUUGCGCAGAUUUUUGCGUCUCCGAGCAAAGAAUCCGCAACGUCGCUCCUUGUAUCUCAGAUCCGUCGCCAAUCUGCAAGUGAGUAAAGUCAAUCACAAUGAGAGGGAUCGAAAACGUAUCAUACUCUAUGCUAGAGACGUGGAAAACAUCGUGGAUGCCAGCAAAGUCGCGGGGGUAGAGCUAUCCGCUAUGCAACCGGUCCGAUACGCUCAAUACACUCGAAGGCCCAACAAACCGCUGACAAUAAGCUUUCCCACGUACCCAAAAUCGGCCGUAUCCCUCUGGAUGCUGAGACUUUUGAACGAAAAACAUGAUGCUCCAACCUGAAAACUCAUAGUCUCGGUCUCUUGGUAUCGGUAAGCUCCUACUGUCGGCUUCUGUGCUGUCAAAUAGUGUCGUCGAACGACUUCUCACAUUUUCGUCAGCCUCAAAAGUAGAAUCUCUGGUCCCAAGUUCCUCCGCUGCACCGCCACACACCCAAAUCAGGAGGAGUCGAUCAUUCGUGCGUCCAUACAACGCCUCAAACGGAUCCAUCUGGAGCCGUUGAGUAGCUAUUGUUGUACGUGCAAACUCAACUAGUCUCAAAUGCUAUACCACCCUCCUCCAAAGUCCAGGUACACAAGCCCCCAGCAUGUCCUACUAGAGUCUGUAAUGGUCGCCGCUCUGACUGACCAUCUGUCUUAGGUGGAACGCUGGCUGUAAAUGUAGUUGUUACGCCAAGGCUGUCUGAAGACUCCUCAAACUGAUAUCAAACCUCGGUCUCUGUCUGAUACAAUCGACCGGCACGCCGUUCAGCGCUACACAUCUCAUCCAAGUUAAUAGCUUUACGCAUAGUCUCUCCCAUGGACCACGUAGUCUGAACCGGUGGUAAGUGAGCUAGACUUAGUCAGUCUGUCCACUAUCGACCCAAAUUGUGGCGUCGUAAGCACCGCUGUCGCUCUUAGCAAUCCAACGACCGAAGUCCAUAGCGUAUGUAAAAGCACUUUCCCAUUUUUCACUCGGACUGCAGACUCUGUAAGUUUGCCCAGCAGGCACCUGAUGGCCUCGGCCUUCACCUGUUGGCAAAGUCAACACUGAGUCAACAAAUCGCCAAUGUUCCGCUUCAUUCAGGCCACGAAAGACAGAAAUCGUGCUUAAGAUCCUUAUACAUCUUGGUUCCCCAGGCACCGUAUAAGGUGGAACAAUGAGGCCUCUUCAAGAUCCGCCCGAUCUCGAUCCAUAGGCACACACAGGUCGUCCGCUGUACGUAGUACUCCAACUGUCCAUUGAAAAACCUUCCAAGCUCUGCCCCGCUGUCCAGCUGCUCUCUAACCCUCAACAAGUAACGGUCCUCCACUCUGUUUUUCUAGAAUCCAUCCAACAGAAGUGGCAGUAGUAUUAGAGACUCAAGCCUCGGCCGUACGACCCCAGGGGUCACUUAUCUCGAGUCCCAGCCAAUGCUGGCAAGCUCCUCGAGUAGGGGUCUCUGCUCAGUAAUGCCUCAAACUCGGACUCUAGCCUUGACUUGCCUGCUCAACGCAUCUGCCAACCUAGGACAUUUUCGCCCUACCGGAUGAUACUGAAUACAAACGUUAUAGUCUCCAGUAACUUCAACCAACCUUGGGGGUGUUGGGCGCUCCUGUUCUCAGAUUCAGGCUCCCUCUGUGUGAACAAGAUACUUGGAGACUUUGAUAAUCCGGUGAAUUACCUACGCAGUGCUCGCCGUACAAGUAAUGCGCCAGAUGCUUCAAAGCAAAAACCACCGCGGCAUACUCCAAAUCAAUGUGUAGGGUGAUUCUUUUCAUAUCCUUUAACACGCCGUUAGCAAAAGCAAAUCACGCUCUACCAUGCUGCAUCAGCACGCAACCACAGUCCGCACUGUGCGAUGCAUCACUGAUAGGAUCACGAAAAUCAAUCCCCAUCACCGAAAUAGCAAGGGAUAGGAGCCGACUCAACCUUCAGUUCAACGACGUGCAAAGCUCCAUGCUGCAGUCCAUCGCUGCCAGACAAAACGAUAUGCCCUUCGCGCGUCAAGGCGUGUGAGGGGUGUGUGUAAAGCUUUCGCAAAAGCCUUCCACAAACCCGAUCGGUAUAUAUCUGCCAGUCCGCACAAGGAAGCUCCGUACCUCAGUCACGUCGUUCGUCUUGCCAAUCUACGAAUCUGCCUACAAUCUCUUCGGUCACUGCUUAGCCCGUCCGGCUCGAAAUCACUGGCCCAAAAAGCGACCUCCGGCCGUAACCGAACCCACAUCUCUUCAAGCUUGCCAUACAGCUUCUUCAUCUUCGCAGAAGCUGUUAGCACAAUCCUCAAGUGCUCUCAUGCUCCGCAUCUACUCCCGGAGUAUAUCAGAAUAUCGCGUCGAUGAAUGACUAACCUCACAAAUUUAUCCAAGAAGCGGGCUUGAACACUUCUGUAUCAAAUCAUGAAGCGGCAAGGGCGCAUUCGUCAAUCCCAAAAAGGCAUUUACUGUGAAAGCUCAUAAUGCCCGUACCGGAGUUCGAAAAGACCGUCUUGGAACAUCCCGGCCGGAAACCCACCCUCAGGCUGGUGGUAAAGACUGACUGAGAUCAUCUUCGAGAAACAUAGAAUCCCUUGCAGUUAUCAAACAAAUACAUCAAUGCGCGGAUCAAGGAUACUUUAUUCUUGAAUGGUCACUGGUUAAUUCAGCUCUCGAUAAUCCACAAUAACCUGAGCGAAACCAUCCUUCUUCUUUACAAAAUAGCAAACUGGCGCUCCCCAAGGCGACACACACUGGUCUCACAAACCCUUAUCCAUCAAAUCCUGAAGCUUGUGUGCCUUUAUGCUCUCAUCAGCUCUGCCGGGUGCCAUCCGAUUAAGGUACCUUUUGAGAUGUGCAGUUCCAGGAACCUAACAUCACACAAACUCAAUCUCCAUCUCCGGUCAGCAAACGUAGUCAAACUCAAGGGAAUACAAUCAGAAACUCGCCAGGACAUAUCUGGAUGUCCCCCUCAAAUCUCCGGCGCCGCUGUAGCGGUAUCUCCAGCAACAGUCGCUAAAAGCGUAUAACCCGCUACUGAGCAUCUGUCCGAGCCCUACGCCGAAGAUAUCCCUAGGUGGCCAAUAGCGUGCUCUCCCUGCAGCCUCUGAAAGUAACUCCUCCUGGGCCCUGGCUCGCCGGAAAGCGUCAGCCUGUCCUGCGGCGCUCCACAGUCGAUCGUAAGCGUAGUACCGCGCCAAGCCAAUCCAUACAGAGCACGACGUGAAGUCCCUGCAAGCUGCCUAGCUAACACCAACAGGACUGCGGGCAUGAGCCACGUAGUCCAACUGCAGACCGGACACGACCAACAACACUCCGCAACCUGUAAAAACAGGUGGUCCGGGAUCAUGCACAUCCGGUGCCUGUGACAAUGCCCCUAACUCGUAGACCGCAUGCAACAAUGCAAAUGCUCGGCUAAUAAAGGAAUGCGAUGCCGACCAGCUAUCCCAAAAAAAAAAAAAAGAGUGCGAACUCUAAUGUCCAGAAAUCAAGUGAUACCUGCCACCCGGACUGCGGCGGUCUGCUGUAAGUCCAUCUCACCUGACUGCAUAGACUCGACCACGGGUCGGGAGCCUGCUGUCUGACGCUCACCUGUACGCGGCAAUCUACGACCUAUCCCUCCAUGCGUAUACUCGUGGCUGCUCUGUAAGUCUCGGCUGAGUGCGGUGGAGCAUGCUGAGCAGAAUGAUGGUGCUGGAGAUGCGCUCUGGGAGCAAGCUGCCCUCAUGUGUCCGGCUGACCACGAUCGGUAGCACGCGGCCCUCCCUCUGCUCACACUGUCUGGGCCAGUGUGGUGCCUCCGCAGACAUCAACACACGCGGCGCCCUUCAGUCAGGCUGUCCCUGCUGACGGAGCUCGGAUCGCUGACGUCCCGAAAACUCCACGACCCUGAGAACGCAUCGGUGAGAGGUCUCCGGCGGAGCCUUGCUACUCGACUGGCCUCCGAUGUCUGGAGCUGGCGCUCCUGGUCCUGACUCUGAUGCCCGGCCGCCUUGAGCCCUUCUCUCGCAGUGACACCUCUCGCUCUCUCCUCCCAUAAGUGCCUGNNNNNNNNNNNNNNNNNNNNNNNNNNNNNNNNNNNNNNNNNNNNNNNNNNNNNNNNNNNNNNNNNNNNNNNNNNNNNNNNNNNNNNNNNNNNNNNNNNNNUCAGAUAAUUGAGUUAAGUAGCAAAAUCCUAUUAGACUCUUCCAUUCUGAAUCUUGUGAUGAUUUAUUGGAGCCCUUUUGAUUGAAUUUUGUGUAGAAUUAAGAGUUAGAAAUGAUUUCUAUUCAUUUAGGAGUCUGAUUUCCAACUGAUUUUCGAUAACGGCACAUUUCAUGUGUAGAAUGUCGCUCGAGCGGAAGCUCGAUUUAUAUCACAACCCGCGCCCGCACGUGUUAUUCGUAUAAGCUACCGAGGGACCAGGGCCUACAGACCUAGGCAAAGGGCAGCAGAGGCAACGAAUCCACCUUGCGACUCAGAACCGAUCAUUCAUAUUUCUUACAUUUGUCGAAUUAUUGGUCAUAGUUCGCCAAAAUUGGCAAAACUAAUCCCUAUGUCCAUAUUAUAUUAUCUAACCUAUAAGAUAAACUACUGACAUAAUUAAAAUAAUAGUGGUAUUUUGACACUUACCUAUAGAAUAUAAUGAGACAUGUAUAUUUUUCAGUGUUAGUAUUAUGUGAUAUUGUCCUGGAGGCCAAUAGACAGUGGUAGAUAGUGUAAGAGUAUAAUUGUAUUUGAGACACUAUGGCAUUAUUAUUAUAAUUUGUUCGAUUAUCGUAUUUGACUACAGUCUGUAUGCUAUUUUGAGCUCGACAGUGAUACUAUAUUCAGUUGGGGUAUCACCCACGAAUUCCACUCUGAAGGUUAGAUUAUGAGGUAUUGUUAUGGCAUGGACCAGACAGUAGCCUGCAUCAUAGUGGACCACUAUAGGUGGGUGUUGGACAUGAGGCGGCACAGGUUAGACCUGAUUGUUGAGGCGGUCACCAUAAUUGGGUAUUAUUGUAUUACUUUAUUCAGUAUCUAAUUGAUGCGGGGGAUAUAAUUUUAGUUAUAUUGUAGAGGCAUGAUAGGAGUAAUUAUUUUCAGCAGUUAUUUAUAUCUUACCUAUUUAUUAAUGCUGCUUAGUUAUUUAUUAUUUCUGCCUCUUAUAGACCUUGUGGUGUAAACCAUCAACAUUGUCAACCAUACCCACCGGGCACUAUUGAUUUUAAUUCUCACGCUCUUAUUAUUAUUGUUUUAUAUCAGAGCCUUCAGCACCAGCGACUGAUCGAAAUAAGGAGAUAGCGGAUAGCUAGCAUCUCAUACUCUUUCUUGUUAUGUAGUUGGAUCACCUAUCAGUGUAUAUAGUAGUCUGUACGAUGUUUUGAGACUUGGAGUGGCCAAAGAUGUUGUACCAUUUUGAGGAUUGGUGCAGUGAUAGUUGUAUAUUUACAGUGUUGCUAUACUAUAUAGUUUUUAUUCUACUCUGAUAUCUGUUGAUGUUAAAUUUUACUAAACUUUUUUGGUUGUUGAUGCUUUGUGUGUAUAGGGUGUAUCCUUAUGCAUACGGUUUGUCUGUUGAUGUAACUCGGGCUUCCACUGUAAUCCAGGACGUGACAUAUUAAGUUGGUAUUAGAGCCUAGAAUUUGUGGCAUAGAAAACUUUAGGCUGGACAGACCUCGAAGAUAUAGGACAAGAGAGACGUGAUUUGUGACGAAAGUCAUUAGAUUGAAUUAUGCAAACUCUUCUUAGAGGGUUGAAGAGUGAUCGAAUGAGAUAUGUCUUUUCCUUUUGGAUGAUUAUGUUGGCUGCAGACAGUUUAAUAACACAGAGGAAAAAGGAUGUCUUUCUAGACUUUCGCUUGAUUAUGUCGAGUUGCGAGAUCUAGUAUGACUGACCUAUAUUUUGAUUUCAGGUGAUCAUGAUGGAGUAGCGAUCACAGUCACCUACAAGAUCUACCCCAGUACAACAAGAGAAGCAGGGUCAAGGUGGUUCUAGUGUGAUACAGGAGCUUCGAGAGAGGUUGGAAUGAUAGGGAUGAUGGAGAGAUUAUGUGAGUUAUUGGCAUAACAAGUCAGUGCUUCACAGUAGAGGCUAGUAUAGGAUGCUCCACCAUUAGGUGUUCUAGUAGAUGUUCCUAGAGCAAUGGUAUCUUCAACAGGGACUAUUACAGAGAUACUGAGAUUGAUUAGGGUGAUGACAGAGUGUAGUCAAGAAGUAUCAGAGCAGAGUAGGAGAGGGCACGUGCGAGAUUGGCUAAGUUUAUGAGAUUUGAUCCACACAGGUUCAAUAGUGAAAGUAUAGAGCUGUGGGUGGCAGAGGCUUGGGUAAGAGAUUUAAAAAAGCUUUUUGAGAUCUGUACAUUCCAAAGAGGGAUAUAGUACACUUGAAAAUACAUUGUCUUGCGAAAAAUGCUCAUGUCUGGCGGUUGAGGGCCUGUGAAUAUAGCUCUGAGAGUCUGACUUAGGAAGAGUUUCAAGGGAUGUUUUAUGGGACCUACUUUCCUGACAGUGUAAAGGAAAAACUUGAAGAUAAUCUAAAUAAGAUAAGACAGGGAGAUCAGUCUGUACAGGAGUAUACAAGGAAGUUUGUUCGGAUCCUAAACUGUGUACCCUUUGCAGCAUGGGACGAGCGACAUAAGACAUUUAUUUGAGAGGAGGUUGCGACCAAAACCUUAUCAGUCAGUACAGCCACAGCAUCUCCGGAUUUUAGAUUUGGUGAUUGAUAUGGCUUUAUAGGUUGAGAGGGAAGCGACAGUGAUGAAGGAGUAAACAGAGAUAUGGGAAAAGGAGAAAGAGGAGAAGAAACCAAUAGAGAAUAGUGGGGAGCAACCUAAUUCGAGGAGACCGACAAAGUAUUCACGAUUUCGGUCUAGGGUCGUGGGUCCUUUGUGGGAUGGAGGUUUAGGGGACAGCAACAGCAGCAGCAAUGAUAAUGAGAGAUAUGUGUGAUUUGUGGUAGGCCAUACUUACCUCAUAUGUAUGCUUAACGAGCUUGCAAAUGUCUUCGUUGUCGGCAGGUGGACAUGUUUGGGCAGCGUGUCCCCGUGGUACCACUUCGGCCCCAUUGUUAGCUUCUUCCCCUUCUACCUCAAGACAGACAUCAGAAGCCCCAGUAGCAUAUAUUCCUGUUGAUCGAGCUUUAACCCGAAACUCAACUAUAAGGCUGUCCCAAGUGCCGAGUAGGCGUGUCUACGUUGCACGGGUGGAGGUUGCAUCAGCAACCGACAAACUGGUUGCAUGUAUUAUUUUGAUUAAAGCAUUAAAACUCGAGUAUUAUUUGAUACUGCUAUAUCUCAUUCUUUUAUUAGUCAAGUAUUCACAUUAUUUCAUAGUUCAAAGAUAGAGACAUUACAAUAUGUACAUGAGGUUCUUAUUUCUGAUCAUAUUUUGCAUGUGGGAGAGUGUUGCAUAUGGUGUACAGUGUAGUUAGGGCUGUGAAUUAUGCCGGUAGAAAUAUUGACCGUGAGAUAGUUGCAGGACUUUGACGUUGCAUUAGGGAUGGAUUGGUUUACUCACUAUUAUGCGAUGAUUGAUUGUAGGGAUAGGACAGUGAUAUUUCACAAGCUGGGUCAGGAGGAGUAUGUGUAUAGGGUUGUUAGAGUACUUUAUUUGUUACGAUGAUUUCUACAUCAAAGGCAAAAUAGUUAAUGAACCGUGGAUGUGCAACCCUUUUGGCAGCAGUAUGGAAGUCCCUACGGCGCCACCAGUACUCAAGGACAUUCCUAUAGUCCAAGAGUUUCCAGAUGUGUUCCCCUCUGCAUUGUCUAGCAUGCCGCUAUAUAGGAAAAUUGAGUUUGUUAUUGACAUAAUCCUAAGAACUGCGCCAAUCUCAAAGACACCUUAAAGGAUGACUGACAAAAUUGCUAGAAUUGAAAGCACAACUACAUGAUUUGUUGGAAAAAGAAUUUAUUCAACCCAGUGUGUCACAUUGGGGAGCGUCAAUAUUAUUUGUGAAGAAGAAAGAUGGGUCACUGAGAUUAUUUAUAGAUUAUCAAGAAUUAAACAAGAUGACUAUUAAGAACAAGUAUCCAUUAUCGCGCAUUGAUGAUAUAUUUAAUCAACUACAGGGGCCUUGUGUGCACUCCAAGAUAAAUUUAUAGUUAGAGUAUCAUCAAUUGAAAUUAAUUUGAGAAUAUUUUCAAGACGGCAUUUAGAACACAAUAUGGGUCUAUUAUGAAUUUACAGUAAUGUUAUUUGGAUUAACAAAUACUCCAGCCACGUUUAUGGAUAUGAUGAAUCGGGUAUUUCAGCCACCCUUGGAUAGGUUUGUGAUAAUGUUUAUUGAUGAUAUCUUGAUAUACUCUCGAAAUAUAGGUAAACAUUAGAAGCAUUUGAAAUUAUAUUACAGAUUUUGGGAGAGAAGAAACUUUAUGUCAAACUAAAGAAGUGUGACUUCUGGCUACGAAAAAUUGCUUUUCGUGGGUAUGUGAUUUCAGCUACUGGGAUUGUUGUUGACCCAAAGUAAAUUUAAGCAAUUUGAGAUUGGCCUACCGAUGAGUGUUUCUGAGGUGCAGAAUUAUUUGGGAUUGCCUGGUUAUUAUCAUCAAUUUGUGAAAGAUUUUGCAAAACUUUUCACACCCCUCAUUCAACUUAUUCAAAAAGAAAUUAAUUAUAUUUAGAGUUAGGAUUGCCAAAGGAGCUUUGAAAAAUUGAAAAGUAGAUUCAUGCCAGCUUCUAUCCUUGCCCUUUUCAUUAUCGAUGAGGGAUUUGUGAUUUAUAGUGAGGCAUCACGGAGUGGAUUGGGUUGUGUAUUGAGUAGAAUGAUAAGAUAAUUGCCUAUGUGAUGCAGGACGGGUCAAACCUAUAAGAGGAACUCAGAUCCAACAAAAUAUUAAAACUCUGGACCUCGCCAGAACCGGAAAACCCUCCGGAAAAAAACUUUCACCAAAAAAUCUUUGCAAGAAAGGUUCAAAAUUUUUAUUCAAUACUCAUCGUCCCUUUUCGUAAAACCUUGUAGGUUAUUUAUAUCCUAAUUACAUCCGAGAAUAACCGAAAAAAUCUCAACUAGAGAUUUAUCUAAAAGGAAAAUAACCAAAAAAAAUCUUAACUAGAGAUUUAUCUAAAAGAAAAAUAUAACAAAUAUUCCUAAUAAGAAAAUCUUAAAAUAACAGAGUAAAUCAAGAAUAAUCUUCAAAUCCAUAUAGCGGGUUCGAGUGUCAACUUGCGCCGCCUUCGUUGAUAGACCUGGAACUCGGACGAUGAUACAGGUCUGGUUCGGUCUGCAUCACGGCCUGCAUCACUAUGCUUCUAGACAGUUGAAAGAAUAUGAAAAAAAUUAUCCUACUCAUCAUUUGGAGUUAGCUGUCGUGAUUUUUGCAUUAAAACUUUAGCACCAUUAACUUUAUAAACAAUACUGUGAAAUCUUCCUCGAUUACAAAAGACUCAAGUAUUUGUUCUCUCAAAAAAAGUUGAAUUUGAGACAACGCCAAUGUUUAGAAUUACUGAAGGGUUAUAAUAUAACAAUACUUUAUCACCCCGAUAAAGCUAACUAGUGGCAGAUGCAUUAAGCUGUAAAUCAGUGCAUCACGAGACAGGCGCCAUUGUUAGAGGAGAUAAGGCGACUUGAGCUUGAGGUUGUAUCCCUUGGGGUCUCUGCGAGACUUGUAUCUUUGGCCUUACAACCCACUCUGAUAGAUAGAAUCAGGGAGAGACAUAAUGAGGACCAACACCUGACGAGGAUUUGAACUGCUAUUGAGAGUGGUCAAGCAUGGGAGUUUAGUGUUGAUGCUUUGGGAGUUCUUUGGUUUUAGGAUCGGUUAUGUGUACCAGUAGAUUCAGCACUCUGUGAGGAGAUUUUGAGAGAGGCUCACAGUUCUCCUUGUACCGUUCAUCUUGGAGGAAUUAAGAUGUAGAAAGAUUUAAAGGCAUACUACUGGUAGACAGGAAUGAAGAGGAUAUUGGAAGAUUCGUGGCUUAGUUUUUAACUUGUCAGCAAGUAAAAGUAAAGCAUCGACUUUCUUCUGGCAAGCUUCAAAAUCUUUCAAUCCUUGUCUGGAAAUGGGAUAUGAUCACUUUGGACUUCGUUGUUGGACUACUAUGAUCUCAGGGCGGACAUGAUGCGAUCUGGAUGAUAAUAGACAAAUUGACUAAAUCUGCUCACUUCAUACUAGUUCAAGUGACAUGGUCUAGAGAGAAACUUGCUCAGAUAUGUUUGGAUGAGAUUGUCAGACUGCAUGGAGUUUCUACUUCUAUAUGUUAGAUCGAGACUUGAUGUUUGUAAUACAUUUCUGGAGAGUUUUACAGACAGCUUUGGGGACUCAAUUAUAGUUUAAUAUAGCUUUUCACCCACAGACUGAUGGAUAGUCAAAGAGGACGAUUGUGUCCUCCAGUAGGUGUUGGAUGGUAUCGACAUUUGAUAAUGGUGGAGUUUUCAUAAAAUAAUAGUUAUCAAACAAGUAUCAGAAUGGCUCCGUUUGAAGCAUUAUUUAGAAGAAAAUAUCGGUCACCACUAUAUUAGAGUGAAGUAGGUGAGAGAAAAAUCCUAGGACCAGAUAUUUUAGUGAAAGCAUAAGAAAAAGUCAGAAUUGUCCAUUGCAGACCACCCAGAGUCGACAGAAGAGCUAUGUUAACACAAGACGUCGAGACUUAGAGUUUCAGAUUGGAGAUCAUAUAUUUCUCAAGGUCUCGCCAUCCAAGGGGAUGAAGAGGUUUGAAAUGCCCGAAAAGCUUAGUCUAUGAUUAGGCCUUUUGAGAUAUUAGAGUGACUAGACCUAUUGCACAUUGGUUAGCUUUGUCGCCUGAGAAUGCGAUACAAGAAUCUUAUCUCUGUCCAUUUGAGGAACCAACUUGAGGAAUAUUUUAAGCUUUGAGGAUGAAACUUUUUAAAAGGGGGAGGAUGUGAUAUACUGAACCUUAGCAAAUAAGAAAAGUUGCACUAUGGAUUGUUAGUCAGUAUUUUUUUUCUUUAUAGUGUUUAACUGAGUUGGAGAAAUUUUGGCAUGAAAUGAACGCGAAAAUGGACUUAGGAACUCAAGAUUUAGCCUAUGGUGGACUAAAGUUAGAAUACUUAAAUUGUGAGGGAUAUGUUAGCAUUUUGUACAAUAGGUAAUGUGUUCCAACUAGGCAUCUGGCAACUUAUGCAUGUCACUCGUUCACUUGCAAGCAUUCAAGAGAAAGAGGGAGUACGGUUAUGAAAGGAGAAGAAGCAAGAUAGGGUUUUCGCAACGAGCCAACCUAGCAUGCGCACGUGUGAUUUUUUUUCCUUGACAUUUCGAUAUCGGAGUUAGUAUUAUAAUAUUAUUAUUUUCUCGUUUGGACUCUUUUGAUAAAUUUUUGUAGAUAUUGAGAGUUAUAAACCGAUUGUUAUGCGUUUUAGGAGCCGAUUUUGUGUGAUUUUCAAUAAGAGAUUUUUCGAGCUGCUCGAGGGUGUUGUGGCUACCAUACGGACUAAGAGAGCAGCAACAAAUCACCUCGCUACUCCGACGAUCAUUCUACUCCUUGGAUUUGGGAUAUAGGUGGAUACCGUGUUAUCAAAAUUGGUGGACUAACUCCAAUAUUCAUAUUAUGUUAUUUAGUCUAUGAGAUGAACUGUUGACAUAGUUAAUAUAAUAGUGAUAUUUUGACACCUAGCUAUAGAAUAUAUUAAGACAUACAUAUUUUUCACUAUUAGUAAUAUGUGAUGUUGCCUUGGAGGCCAAUAGACAGUGGUAGAUAGUGUGAGACUAUAACUGUAUUUGGGACACUAUGGCAUAUUAUUAUAAUCUGUUUGAUUAUCAUAUUUAAUUAUAGCAUGCAUGCAUGCUAUUUUGAGCUCGACAGUGAUACUAUAUUCGGUUAGCCCCGUGAGUGCCACUCCGGAGAUUAGGCUAUGAGAUAUUGACAGUAGCCUGUGUGGUAGCGGACUACUAUAGGUGGGUGCUGGACACAAGGUGGCACAAAUUAGACCUGAUUAUUAAGUCGGUCACUAUAAUUAGAUAUUAUUUCAUUACUUUAUUCAUUAUUUAAUUGAUGAAUGGAUACAUGAUUUAAGGUUUCAGUUAUAUUGUAGAAAUAUGAUAGCAAUAGUUAUUUUCAGCAAUUAUUCAUAUAUUACCUAUUUAUUCAUAUUGCUCAGUUAUUUACUAUUUUUACCUCUUAUAAACCCAGUGGUGUAGACCGUUGGCAUUUCGACCGUACUCAAUUGGGACUAUUGAUUAUAUUCUUACGCCCUCUUUAUUAUUAUUUUAUUUUAGAGCCUUCAAUACCAGCGACUGAUCGAGAUAAGGGGAUCGCGAAUAGCUAGCAUCUCGUACCCUUUCUUUUGAAUGUAGUUGGACUACCUAUCAGUGUAUAUAGCAACCUGUAUAAUAUUUUGAGAUUUGGAGUUACCGGAGAAGUUGUACCAUUUUGAGGAUUAACGUAGUGAUGAUCGUAUAUUUAGAGUAUUGCUAUACUACAUAAUUUUUUUUUCUACUCUGAUAUCUACUGUUGUUGGUUAUUAGUAAACUUCUUUCGGUAGGUUUUGUUGACACUUCGUGUGUAAAGUGUAUCCUUAUACAUGCGGUAGGCGGGUCUGUAGAUAUAAUCCGAGCUUCCGCUGUAAUUCGGGGCGUGACAUAUAAAUUGUGGAAUGCAAUUACAACUUUUUAUAAAAUGUGUUGCACAAAUAGUAUAUACAAUUAAUGUUUGAAAUUUUUAACGUUUGAAGUUUUUAUAAAAAAAUUAAAAUGUUGCAUGUUUUACAGAAUAUUGUAUUAUUAGAAAGUAUGUCGCAUAAUUUUAGUAUAGAUUACAUAAUUCGAAAAUGGUGCUGCACGAUUAUAAAAUUUGAAAUCUCUAGAGAAUCUAGCAUUAAAUAGUUUUUAUCCUUCUUGGAAAGCACACUAAAUUAUAAUUACAUAUACUUUUCUCGAGAAACAAGAAUUUGUAAUACCCUGAUCCUCUCGAUGGAACUGUGAUGAGAUAACUCCCGAGUUUCGCCAAGGGCCUGUUUGUUUGUACGGAAGUGGGGUGGAAGUGGGAAGGGGGAAGUAAUUUUUGGUGAAAACAGAUCACUUCCGUUGUUUGGCUCACCGUAAUUUUAUUACGCCAGAAAGUCUAGUUCACCCAAAAUAAUGAAAUUGACUUCCCCCUCCCAUGGGGCGAAGUCAAUUUCGGUGAGGUGAAAAGAGGCAAGAGUGGGAAUUAAUGUGUUAGGGUUACCCUCUUCUCUACCCUUUCCUCUCCCGAGUCCCAGACCCAACUCCAAAUAUAUUCAAUUAUGGAAGUAAUUAAAUUUUUUAUUUUGAUUGUAUGUCUAAAAUAUGAUCAAAUUUGGUUAGGUAAGUUUUAAUAUAUUUUUUGUUUAAUUUGUAUAUUUAGAAAAUGAUGAAAAAUGAAUUUGUUAAAUGUUAAUAAUUUUUUAACUUUAGAAUUUUAUUUGUUGUAUUAUUAUAAUUUAUAUGCAAACAAAUAAUCAAAUUUUUUAAAAUUUUAUUUUAUAAUCAUACAUAUAUAUAAUUAUAAACAUACAUAAUUAUAUUAAUUUUUAUUUAUUAUAAUUUAUUAUUCACUAAGUUACAAAAUAGACAAUGAUAUCACUUCGGAGGUAAGUAUACCGGAGGUGAAGAGCUACACUUUUUACGUCAUCUAUUUCCAACCAAACAAAUAACAGAACUCGCAGAACUGCACUUCCACAGUUAGAAACAAACAGCGAAAGUGAAUUAAUUUUCACCCCAACUCCACUUCAACCCAAAGUCCACUUCGACCCCAAGCCUACUUACGUUGAAACAAACAUGCCAAGUGGAAAUGAUGGUUUCUCUAAUUCAAGAGAGAUGAAAUAGAUCGUGGGGGGAGAAGAGACAAAAAAGAGAUAGAAGAGAAUGAGAUAGGGUAGGGAAGAGAGAGAAAAAAAAGAGAAGAAGAUCCGGGAAGAAGUAGUAAUUUCAUUCAUAUCCUUUACACUUUACUCCCUUACUAUUUAUAGUCACUCUCUGAGGACUACUAUGCAAAUAAUGAAAUACUAAGUAUACAAGGUAAAUGAAAUAACUAAAUGGGCCAGUGGGUCGUCAUUCCCAAAUGGGCUAGUGACUUAGGCCGCAAAGGAAGGCUAGUGGAAAAACCCCAUGCAACCCGCGGUCUAUUUCCCUGUCAGAUCGAAUAAUGGUCCCGACAACCCAACCCGUUAUUCGUUACUAACUACUCCAGAUCUUCUCUUCCCUCAAAUCUACUUUAUGACUUCGAUCGUCUCCUUCCUUGCCCUAGACACUUUGUCUACUCCAUCAUUACAAUCCCGCCUUCCUUUGAAAUGAUCCUUGGCCUCAAGGAUUAAAGUUGGAAAAUUGUGCCUUUAGCGACCAAUAGUCCUCCCAGGUGGGUCGUUCUUUCGGUAGGUGUCUCCAUUUCACCAAAACCUAGAUAACUGCUUUGUUCCCUUUUCGUACCAAGUGGCGAGAAGGAAUCUCUUCGGGUUCCGCUAGUAGGUUCUCUUCCUCGCCCGUUGGUGGAGCGGUGGCUGACAGCUGCUGGCCUUCAAGAGGGCUCUUCUUAAGCAAUAAGACAUGGAACACUAGAUGUACUCGAGAACCCUCCGGAAGCUUCAACUUGCACACCACCGACCCGACCCUCUCCAAGAUCUCGAAAGGUCCGAAAUAACAGGAGGAUAGUUUCAAGUUUCUCCUCUCUGCUAUGGAGCUUUGUCGAUAAGGUUGUAACUUUAGAAAAACCCAGUCUCUGACCUGUUAUUCUCGGUCCACCCUUCGCCAGUCAGCAAAUUGCGUCAUUCGGUUCUGUGCCUUGAGUAGGUUCUCCCGUAGAUCUUUAGUAUCUCUUUCUCUCUCCCUUCCCCACUUCUGUUCGUCCUGUAGGGUUCCUAGCUCCAAGUUUGCUACCAAGUAGUUGGGUGGUUCUCUUAUGUAUAGUGCCUGAUAUGGCGUUGUCCCUAAGGAGGUGUGGAAAUUUGUGUUAUACUACCAUUCGGCGUGUGAGAGCCAGCGGCGCCAUAUAUGUGGAUACUGGGAGCACAUGCAUCAUAAGUAUGUUUCCAAACAACGAUUGAGCCUCUCGAUUUGUCCGUCAGUCUAAGGGUGGUAUGCCGAACUCAUAUGUAGCUUUGUCCCCAACAUUUUAAAUAUUUCCUUCCACAACUCACUAGUGAAACCUUGCCCCUGUCCGAUAUGAUCUUCUCAGGUAGCCCGUGAAGCUUGUAGAUAGUGUCGAAGAACACUUUGGUCACCUAUGCAACAGUGUAAAGAUGGCUCAGGGAAUGAUGUGUCCAUACUUAAAGAAUCGAUCAACAACCACCAAUAUGGAACUUUUACCCUCCGACUUCGGUAGGCCCUCUAUGAAAUCCAUGCUGACCUCUUGCCAAAGUUGGUGCGAAAUUGGCAAUGGUUGUAACAAUCUAGCGUAGGGUUGAUUGUCAUUCUUACUUUGGAUGCACAUAACACAGUUUCUCACCAUCCUCUCCACGUCUUUUUUUUAAACUUGGCCUAUAAAAUGUCUGUUUGAUCCUCUUUUAAGUACCCUGUUGUCUUGAGUGGCCCCCUAAGGCAGAGUUAUGCAUCUGGGUAAGUACUCUUUGCCUUAGAUCCCCUCCUUCUCCUAUGUACAACCUCCCUUUGUAGCGUAACAUGCCUUGCACUAGGGAAUAAGGUGCUGAGCCAUUGGGUUGCGGUGUCAGCUGGGCUAUCAAUUUCUAGCAGUUGUCAUCUCCCUUAUAGCUUGUGAGGACCUCGGUUGCCCACUUUGGAAUGACAGCGGAAGUAGCUUAGUUGCUCUCUUCCGUCAAAUGUGCCACUACAUUCCAAUCAAAUGCAUUUUUCUUCAACAAUUCCGUCAGAGGUUUGCUAAUAGUCCUGUACCUUUGGAUAAAUCUUCGGUAAUACCCGGUCAAUCCUUGAUGAUAAGCUUGUUUAGUUGUUGAUAAUCUACAAAAAACCCCCAACUUCCGUCAUUCUUCUUGACUAACAAGACCAGGGAGGCAUAGGGGCUGUUGCUUGGUUGAAUCGCUGAGGUGGCUAGCAUUUCCUUGAUCAAUUUUUCCAUCUUGUUUUCUGUUCAUAACUAUAUCGAUGGGCCUGAUGUUGAUUGGUUGUGUGCCUACUUGCAGGGGUAUUCGGUGAUCUUGCAACCUGGCUAGGGGUAGCCCUUGUGGCUCUCGAAAUACGUCUCCUAAUUUCUUCAAGACCACUUGGAAUCUUCUCAUGAAUGUUUAGCUAUUUAUCCCCUUCCAUGCUUGACAAUUGAGCUAUUGCACAGCAGCUACCUUCCAGGUACUCUUGCUACCACUGCUUAGCUGUUAUACCUCUAAUCCUUGCAUUCUCGACUAUUCCUUUGAGUUCCACUCUCAUUUUUUUCCUUUUUGAUUGUCACCGCAUGUUGAUUGUAAUCAAAAGUAACUAGCCUAUAGACCUUUUGUCUGAUCGUUGGCGCUAAUCAUUAAUCCCAAAAACUCGAGCUAUUAGAAAUAUGCAACCAAUUCCCUUAAAGCAUAUGGAUACUGUACCCACGGGUCUCGAUUGUGAUUCAGCUUAACCAGCCUCACACCACUUCAAAUGGCUCGACCCAAUAUGGCCUCCCGCCACAUGAUAGGAUACUAACCCAUUUAAGCCAACAAUCCCCCCUCCGACACCUACACAAAUUCACAGCAUGCGGAAAUCAAACUCGUGACCACUGGCUCUGAUAGCACUUGUCGGAUCGUUGACGCUAACUAUUAAUCCCAAAAGCUCGAGCUAUUAGAAAUACAUAACCAAUUCACUUAAAGUGUACAGAUACAGCGCCCACAGGUCUCGAUUGUGACUUGGCUCAAUCAGCCUCACGCCACUUCGAACAUGACUCGGCCCACCCAGCCUCACGCCAUUUCGAACAUAACUCGGCCCAACAUGACCUCCCACUACAAGGCGGGAUGCUGACCCAUUUAAGCCAACACCUUCCGCCAGUCGAUGCCUAGUAUUAUGCUGGACCCUUCUAAUCGAAUUACUCUUAGAUCCGUAGUAUACUAGCUCUUCCCCUUGCAUCUUCCAAAAAAAUUCUGGGCAUCUUAAUUUACUUAAUACUUUUUAUCCAUUAACCACCGUCACCAAGAGUGGCGUAGCCGUUUGGAUGGUCGCUUUGGCUUGUUUUGCGGUGUUGAUGUCUAUGAAGUUGUGGGUGCUUCUUGUAUCAACUAAUGUGACUAGACUCUUCCCUUUAGCCGUGCCUUGUAUUUUUAUGGUCUUUUGUGGAUUCUCCUCACUUAGGGCAUGCACAGAUAAUCCGGUUCUUUUUCUUCUUCAGGCUCUGAUUCCCCUACUUCUGCGACUUCCUUCAGGCACUCAUCAUAUAUCUCUGAUACCUCGUUCGUAGCACUGAGGGUAUUCACUAUUUGUUGUUUACACUGAUGCCCAAAUGAGUAUUUUUCUCCACACCUAAAGCAUAACCCAACGACUCUCUGCUAUUCCCAUAAUUGUCUUUUUAGUUGGGAUUUCUCAGCAAUUGCUUUGUUGGUAUAGUUUUUAGUAGUGUCCGUUGUCUUUGAGGGCAUCACCGAACUGUUACCCUUGGAACUGUUAGGUGGGUUGCACUUCCCUGGUUCUUAAACCAACUCCUACUCUUUCUUAUCACCGCAGCUAUACUUUGAUCCUGAAGUUUAGCCAACUUGAAUGCCUGAGCUAGGGAUCUUGGCUACCGCAUUUUAACAGUCGACAUAAGUUCUUCUUUCAAUCCACUCAUAAAGCUGGAUAAGAAGUACUCUGGUACAAAGUGGGAAGAAGUAUGCAGUAGUCUCAAUCGCAAUUCUUCAAAUUGCUCUUGGUACUCUAUAGUUCCCUAUUGUGUCAAUUUGUUAAAUUCUUUGACUACAUCCUUCAAACCAUAGGAGUCAAACCAUUUGCAUACAUCCUGUGCCAAUACCUCCCAACUCACCACUCCCUUCUCGGCCAAGUAGCCGUGGAAUCAGGUAUCUACCCUCGGUUCCAUGUGCAUACUUGCCAACUCCAAUUUCUGUUGUUCCUUAAUCCCAUAAAUCUCAAAAUACCUCUCGCACCUCCUAAUCCAACUCCUGGGAUUAUCCUCGCUGAAGAAAUCCAGUCAUGGAAAGGUACGGGGUGGCUAGCUCUGCUAUGCAACUGAUAUCUUCUCUAGAUGAUGGAAUCGAGGUGGGUAGGAUACCUCUCUCUUCCUGGAUGAUUGAUUCGGAUGCACCCUUCGAUGGUGUCGCCUACUACUGGUUCACUAGUAAGUCCAUUAACUGAUCUAACUUCUUAGUGGUGGCUGUGGAAUCCCGACGCAAUGCUUCAUAAUGGCUCUGCUCCUCAUCCCUCAUAGCUUCAAUUUCACGAUAAAGUUCUUCAAACUUCUUACUAUUCUCGGUUGCUAGUUCAUGCAUCUGUUGCUCCAGGGAUUGCACAUGCUCAUCGAGCACUCUAAGCCUGUUGCCCUCCACCAUGGCCAACGCAGACUUGCAAACGAAUUUAAAGCGGUUCCCCUUACUUGACCCUGUUGGAUCGUUGGCGCUAACCAUUAAUCCCAAAAGCUCGAGCUGUUAGAAAUACGCAACCAAUUCACUUAAAGCGUACAGAAACAGCGCCCACGGGUCUCGAUUGUGACUCGGCCCACCUGGCCUCACGCCACUUCGAACAUGACUCGGCCCAACCCAGCCUCACGCUAUUUCGAACAUGACUCGGCCCACAUGGCCUCCUGCCACAGGGUAGGAUGCUGGCCCAUUUAAGCCAGCAGACCCAACAUCGGCUAUGAAACGCCCAAUACUCGAUGAUGUUACUGUUAGAAAAUUACGUACGGUAAAACACAGCGGAAAAAGAAAUCAAACAAAUUUGAUUUUGAAAAACUCUCGAGAUCUAAUCUCAAAAACCACGCAAGUAGGAUCCCUCAUGUUCUUUAAGAUUAAAGGAGAAAAGUAAGAUCGAAUCAUUACCUUUUUCGCGGAUAAAUUCUUGCCUCAAUUUGAUGAUCGUGGAAUCGGGUUCUCUUGAAGCCGCACACGCGUCCGGCCUCUAUAGGUAUCCACACGAGGUUCUUGAUUUGAUCGAUGUCCUCACCGGGGUGCUAGCUCCCUUGCAAAAGGACGUCUUUCUUGCUAAAAGAUGGAAGAGAGAAGAGAGGAUAGAUGACGGCUUGGGUUUUCUAAAAACUCCCGUAUAUUAUAUAUAGGAAUAUAAUCCUAUUCCUAAUAAUAUAAUGACAAUUAAGGAUAAGUAUAAAUCUAGAUUUAAAUUUAUCUUUUCCUUAAUUGGUUAGAUCGAUCAAAUCCUAAUUUGAUUCGACUUGAAUUUUAUAUUAAUUUGAUCUUAUCAAAUUAAUAAUGCAACAUUUGCACAUAAGUCCUCUUAUAAUUUACUAACUAUUAGUAAGUCCUCUCUUGUAACAUUUACACUUUAAUACCACUAAUUUGUAACAAUUACAAAUUAGUCCAAUUAUCAACAUAUUGACAAUUAGGUCCUCCGGCGAUUCAAUAAUCGCGAUCUAGCUAUCCGAUCAAUCACAACCUCUUAUGUGUGUGACCCCAUAGGUUCUAUUCUAUCUGGUAGUGAGAUAUAUUUUGAUCACUAUCAACAAUAUCACUGAAACUCCUUUCAGUGGAUCGGAACAAUUCCAACUCAGCCCAAUGAGAAUUAUCGAUCAUCUAGAUAAUUCUCAUGAGUCUCACAAUCCACCAGUGACGCCUAGCAGCAUGUAGUGGCAUUCCAGUAGAAUGGAAUACUGAACCUCUUGGUGCAGUUACCGUGUGAUACAAUCCUUCUAUCAUGAGUCCCGACUAGACGGAGGUUAUGGAAUAACUCGUCAAACCCCAUCGUCUGUCAUAUGUUAAAUUUAUUCGACUCGAGUUUCUAAUAUCGGAAACCCUUUUCCGCUAUUUAUUCUGCCCUGGCCAAGGUCUUCUAAACUCGGUCUCAUAAAUCACAUAGGACUAACACCCCUAUCUACCAAGGGAGAUAGAUUCCAUCUGAGUGCGCACCCUAUUCCUACAAUGAACCUACUGCAGCCAACAUGCACCGCAAGGACCCGAAUGGCUAGGGACCAAGUGUAUGUACAGUCAAACUACAGUAACCUCAUUGUGAAUAGCCGAGGCACCGCAGGUCAAAGGACCAGUCACACUACUGCAACAAUUGAGUAAGUCACUGACGAGUGAGUAGACAUCCAAGUGACUUCUCGCGUUGGUCACGCUCGGUACCCUUGUUCUCUAACAACCACCUGCAUAUUCGCUUCAGUGUCCCCACACUGUCGACUCGAAACUCGUCUACCCUGAAAGGGAAACGACCUAUGCACCAAUCUCAUCGGAUCAAUCACCGUCCCCGUGAUGAUCCAUUGAUCGGGAGCAUUUAGGAAUUAAUCACCAAUGACACAUGUCUCAAAUUCUCAACACUUGAGAAUAUAUGUCAUCAUCUUAUUAAUUCCUUGGACGAUUCAUGGACACAUACACAACAUGAAUGGAAAUAAAAACCCAAAGUUAUUCAUAAUAUUUUAAAAGUCAAAUACAAAUUUAUGUCCUAGAAAGAAUAUAUGUGUCGGCCUGGUUGGCUUCUAGGGCAUACAUCUAACAGUUACUGUGGGCUAGACUGUCAAUGAUGCACAACUUAGACUCUUGAGUGGCUUCCGCGGAUCGCCUGGUAGUAGCUAACCCUUGCAAUUUGGAUUCUCAAUUAAGGUGAAAAUCUGAUUGCGAGUUAAUCGCCCCUAUGCCGGCUGUACAUAUCCUUUGAUCCAGAUCCAGCGAGGGCCACUACCACCAAUUCCCUGGGAUCGGGACUGCUCUGAUACCAAUUUUGUAAUGCCCUAAUCCUCUCAGUGGAACUAUGAUGAGAUAACUCCUGAGUUCUGCCGAGUGGAGAUGAUGGUUUCUCCAAUUCAAGAUAGAUAAGAUAAAUCAUGGGGAGAGAAAAGACAGAAAAAAGAUAGAAGAUGAGGAGAUAGGAUAGGGAAGAUAGAGGAAGAGAAGAGAAGAAGAUUAGGGAAGAAGCAGUAAUUUCAUUCAUAUCCUUUACACUUUACUCCCUAUACUAUUUAUAGUCACUCUCUGAGGACUAUUAUGCAAAUAAUGAAAUACUAAGUAAUAACAAGGUAAAUGAAAUAACUAAAUAGGCUGGCAGGCCGUCAUUCCCGAAUGGACUGGUGACUUGGGCCGGGAUGGAAGGCCUGUGGAGAAACCCCAUGCAACCCGCGGUCCGCUUCCCUGUCAGAUCGGAUAAUGGUCCCGUCAAUUCGACCUGUUAUUCGUUACUAACUACUCUAGAUUUUCUCUUCCCCUAAAUCUACUCUACGACUUCGGUCGUCUCCUUCCUUGCCCUAGACCCCUUGUCUGCUUCGUCGUUAUAGAAUCCUCAUCUAACAAAAUAAUAAGAAAUAAAUAUAACAAGUAAAGAAGGAUAGUAUAACACUAUCUAAAAUUGUGCAACAUACUAUCAAAUUUUGCAAUAUUCUAUCAAAUAGAACAACAUGUUUUUAAAUAUGGUAACAAUUAUGUUUUCUCUAAAGUGUAAAUUUUGUAUUAGUUGUGCAAGUAUUUUAUAAAUUGUGUAAUUGUCAUAUGAAUUGUGCACUAUUUUAUGUUUUGUGCAUAAUUUAGGUUUUUAUUUGUGUUAUAAUUUUUUUUUUAAUUUGCCGCAUAGCAAACUGUGUAAAUGGCGAUUGAAAGACUUAUACUCUGCACGUCACAUUAAAAAAACUUACACCAUAUGCCCGCCUUCCGCACGUCAAAGGACUCAAUAAGCGCGCCCUAAUCGUACGUACAUGCGCAAUCUACAUAUUAUGGGCAGAAAAGCAUAUUGGUCAUACUAAAAAAAUUUAUUCCAAAUCUGUAAUAAUAAUUAAAAAGUGGUCGAUUUUUGUAAAAGUGCAAAGUUACUGAACAUUUUAUAAAAAAAGGCAAAUAUAUUUGACCACUAAAAUUUUGUAAAGAUAAAUAUGCAAUUCCACUCUUUGCAAUAGUAAGAUGCAAUCAUACCUAAAAACCUAAAAUGCUAUAUAAGUAGCGAUAUCCAAUUAUUUCUUUCUGUCAUAAAAUCGCUGCUACUAAAUUAGUGCCCCUACUAUUGAGACUUAAGGAAUGCUUGGCCCUACUAGAUGAUAUAGUCUUAAUUGAUGAAUUGCUACUUGAAUAGCACUUCGAGAAAAAGCAUUAUGUCAAAUUUUCUUUAAUAGAUUCUCUUUGCGACAAAGGUUGGAAGCAUCAAAUUGGAGCUUCUGCUUUCUUGCCUCAAAAUUCUAUCUUUGAUUCUCAUUGUAGUAAAAGCACCAGACUUUUUUAUGCUGCCAAACAUCCUAGUGAAUAUAUUGCAGUUGAUUGAAAAAGAAACAAAAGUGGAGUAAAACAAACACUCAAGCCUCGUUUGAUAUCAUUAUCUUUUAUUAAUUUUUUAACACUUAUUUUAUACAAUUUAACAUACCUGCUAGUAGAAAAGGAUUUUCUCUUACUAUCAUGGUUAGUUAGCUUGUAAUACUCUAGUCAAAUUAUAGGUAAUAACUUGUUUAAAUAAAAUAAAUCUUAAAAGAAAGAAAAUUGCUUUUGAUCUCCCUUCCCAUCCACUUUUUUACUUUUCCUUCCUAACUUUAAAAAAUCUAUAUUUUACCCCCUCAACAUUUCAAAUUAUUACAUUUAGCCCCUCUCCAUCAGGGUUCCAUCACUAUUCCGUACAUUUCUUAAAAUUUAUACAAAAAAAUACCAUUCAAAAUAAUAGAAAUAUAUUAAAAUUUUAUUUUUUCUUAUAGAAAAAAUUGGUCAUUUUGCCCUCUAUUAAUGCUGUACCCCAUUGAAAAUAUUUCUGAAAUUUUAAUAGGGUAAAAUAUAGAUUUUUUAAAGUCAGAAAGGAAAAGUAAACAAAGUGGGUACUUACAAAGGGAUUUUGUUUAUUUUAGCCUUUAUUUUUUGUUAUCAUGCAAAUACUUUGGAAGUAAAAAUUGCAAGUAAUCCACUAUAUAUCUCCUUCUAAAAAAAAGUAAAAAAUGGUAACAAUACCAAUCAAGGCCUUAGAAUCCUACUAUUCUUCUUACUGUAAAAAUAGUUUCAAAUUUUGUUCUUUCCAAACUCAUUACCACAGAUUCUUAGUACUAAAAGCAAAAAACAGAAAUGGAGUUAAUUAAGCCCUUAGUAUUAAAUAGUGCGAGUGCAGCUUGUCUAAAAGGAAUAGUGAGUACCAGCUAUUAUUUUACUUUGAAAUCAAAAGACAAAAAUAAAAUAACAACUAUUUUUUUUUCAAAAAAAAAUAAAAAGAAUAAUUCAUUAUCAAAUAAAUCUCAACAUAUUAUCAUCCUCUGAUUUUGAUAGCUAAAAAGGGUAGAGCUAGUUAUAUCUAUUACAUAUAAUGAAAACUUAGUUGGGAGUUAAUGUGGAGCCACCACAUUCACUUUAUUAGCAUGGGGGGAUGGGGUACACUUUUUUUGUGGUAAAUUACAACGAUAGUUUUCAACUUAGGCUUCGGUUGGGAUUGUGGGAAGAUUGCGUUACGUGCCAUGAGAAAGUACGUUGGAAAAAUAUUCUGUUUGUUUUCGUACGUAAUAUUGCGUUUCGCAUAUCGCGAUGAGUCAGUUACGAUAUAUUUUCUGCGGUCCCACCAGAAAACGCGGAAGCAUAUCCCUAUAUGCUUUUUCCUCAACUCUAUUUUAUCCGGUAGCGUUAGAUAGGCCUCAAUACCAAACUAAGCCUUAAUUACUCUUGAUUUUUCAAUUGGGUACCCAACUAUUUUUCUUGGUCAAAUAAGUUUUCAACUUGCAAUUUUUUUAAAAAAAUUUGGUCCUACCCUCAAUUUUCCGUUAUAAUUGAUAGAAGUCGAUAUGUGGAUGUUGAUGUGGAGUUUGGAUAAAUUUUUGGCUUAGUAGCACAAUUGGUACAUAACCUUUUUUUCAAUGUUUCAAUUGGGUUCUUAAUCUUUUAUUGCCAAUUAAAAAUAUUAUAAAUUCUAUACUUAUUUAGAUAAAAGUGUUUAACAAAUUUAAUGACUCUAUUAGUUUAAUAAUUAAUUAAUCUAAUUUUAUAUAAUAAAAAUAAUUAAAAUUAUAGAUUAAAUAAAAUUACCAACAAGUUUUUGCUAAAAACUUUUUUUUACUUUUAUCAUUUUAAAUCCAAAAACUCAAAAAGUAAGAAAGUUUUUUUAAAAAAAGAGCAGCAUAAAAAAGAGCAACACUAUAUAUAUGCAACCAACAGGGCUUACAUCUUAUCUAAUAAGAGUCUAUAUUUAUAUUAUUUUGUCAAUUUUUUUAAUAUAAAACAUUCAAAGGGCUUCUGAACCCUAGGAUGAGUAGACAUAAGAUACAAUCCUUUUUUUAAGUGUAUAGAUAGCAUUUUUCAAAAAAAUAAAAAAUAAAAAAAGUUGGAAAGUUGAAGGGAUCAAUCGAUAAAAAAAAUUUUAGGACUUAAUUGAAAAAUGGGUGUGACACCCCAUCAUUCCAAAUAGUCCUUACCGUCUGAAAAGUGGGGCGUCACAACAGGAAAAAUAUUGAGUAACUCAAUCGAUUAAAAAAAUAAGUUUAGCUGUUGCUAUUUAUUCUUCUUCUUUAGCUUCUUCUUUUAUUCUUCUUUAAAUUUUGCUGCUACUAUAAAUAUGAUUUAUUCUUCUUUAAAUUUUAUUUUUAUUUUUUUACUUUUACUGCAGCAACUAUUGCUACUUAUUUUAUCCUUGACUGGCUUCACGCCAUACAUUCUUUAGUAGUCUUUAAAUUUUUAGAAAAAUGCUUAUUUCGUGAGCUUUCUAUUCUUUAGCUUAAUUUGUUGGUUUGUUUUGCACUUCUAAAUAAAAAUAAAAAAAAAUAAUUAUCUAUAUACCCCUCAUAACUUCUAACAUAUUUCAUAUAUUCCUUUUUUUGUUUCAAAUAUACUCUUUAUAUAUUUCUCCGUUAUUCAAAAAUAACCAGUACUUAUUAAGUUAUUUAAGGUUAAAUUCGAAUUAAAUUUCUAUCAGAGUUUAAAAAAACAGAAUAUCUUUUUUGCCCCUAACUUAAUGCCAAAUAAGAAAAGUUGGCGAUAGUAGAAAAUGCAUACUUGAGAGGGCAAAAGGUCAAAAUAUCUAUUUUUGUCUCUAAACUAAGGGCAAAAAAAAUAUUUAAAAAGGCAAAAUAGUAAUUUUACGGAGAUAACGGUUGUUUUAAUAUAUUUGAAAGAACUUAGAACGCGAAAAGGAAUAUUUUUUAUAUUAAUCUUCUAAGCAGGGUAAGGGUAAGUAAGAAAAUUUAAAACUUUAAAAACUUUUGUGAUUUAAUGA